This 45044-nucleotide long non-coding RNA is filed under the name Hordeum vulgare. RNAcentral's name for it is "long non-coding RNA (HVUL_LNC004772)". Lineage: Eukaryota; Viridiplantae; Streptophyta; Magnoliopsida; Poales; Poaceae. The record is from RNAcentral.
GUGUGUGUGUGUCUGUGAUCAGUUGACCGACCCUCUGCAUGGAUGGGGGCCGGGGGGUUUUAUAGACGAACCCACCGGCCUACAAUAUGGAUAAAGGGUACAAGAGUGGGACCCGGCUGGCAGCCUCGCCGGUUGGCCAGAGGGCCCGCGGGGUCCUUGUCUUGUCGCUUGAGUGGCCCGCCAGCUGCGAGGUCCCGUUUGGCUGUGGGACCCGCCGGCCAGCCAAUGAGGCUCUCGCGUAAGGUUGAUGCAGGACACGUGUGUUACGUCUAGCAUCGUCGAGCGAGAUUCGUCAUGGGCAGACAGUAUGGCCGCCUCCACUGUUCCCACGCCGAGUGUAGUAAUGGUGUGGGGGUUUGACGAGCCGACACUGUGCUGGGUAAUGGAUCAGAGCCGAGGGAGGUCAGCAGCGUGGCCGUCGACGCUGGUACCCAUCGUGAACUCUAAUCCAGUAUCUUUGCUGACGCGUAGCCACCUUUGAUCGUAGGGUCUCGUCAUGACCUACGAUCUGAUGUGACUGGAGAUCCCCGGCCGUCUAGCCUACUCGACUAGCCGGCCUGGGCACGUCCGCCUCUUUCCUAACCGGCUGGCUUGGCCUAGGGGGCCAGGGAGAGGAAGCCGUCUUGCCUCUAGCCGGCAGGUGCUUCCUCGCCGACCAGAGAGUUGGCCGUCUCGCCUCCCAGCCGGUAGGUGUUGCCUAGCCGGCCUAGAGACUUGGGCCUUGUUGAAUGGUUUUGGGUCAUUCCUUCUGGGCUGGAGAUAAAGGAGAGGGCUCGUUGAGCCUACCCCGGGGUUAUCCCCCCGACACUCUAUAUAUAGUGGCGGCCCCAGUCCUCUUCCCUUAUCGUCUCGACAGGAAGGGAUCCCACAAUGGCCAAUUUUGAAGGGGAAUAGGGGAACAUGCUCCCCUCCCCAAAGGUAGUCUUCGCGUGCAAAGUGGCUGUCAGCGCAGCAGGGACGGGUCCAGGGAUGAAGUUUGUCCUGCUGGCGGCGGCGAUGGCCUUAUUGCACAAGAAAGGAAACCUUUGGAAGAUGCCUUGGGAACCACGGUUCCUCCUUGCCCCCUUUGCACUAGAGGGGAAACUGCUCCGUCCUGUCGUCUGUUGCUCGCCUGUCCUUCUUCCGCGUCAUCCUUGACUCCUGAGGCCGGGUCUUGCAUGGGAAUAUCCACCGCUCCUGAGGGGUCCUGAUGAGGCCCCCUUCGGGUCUUGAUGUUGUUCCUCCUCGCAAGGCUUGGACCCUCGCGAGGACCUUUCCUUGGGUGGUGCCACGCCCGGUUGUGCCUGCUUUAUGAAGUGGGCCAGCUCUGGGCACACGCAGGCAGGUCUGGGUACCCCAUUCCUAGAACGCCGACAGUAGCCCCGGGGCCCAAGGACGCGUGGGUCGCUUCUCGGCGAAGCCUUGAGGGUAGCCUGAAGCGUCGCGGGCCCCGAAUGCAUGCGGGCCAGGCGGCACACGUGUCCAGCCGCCAUGCGGCGACGCUUUCACUCCCCAAGGUAUACGGGGUGCAGCAGACCACGAUGGCACGACCUCCACGAACCGCAUCGACCAUCAUUGUUACUCAUUGAAUGGCAUCAGCGCGGCCGGCCCACGCCCAACGGCCCUCACGGAAGUGACUGAUCGGUUGUCAGGUGAGGUGACAUGGGCGGCAAUGCGCGUGCCGUCCCACCCCGCGACACCCAAGGGGCGUGCAACGCUCGCGCUUCCACGACUCUUGGUGGCCCCGGUUCGCCUAUAAAUCUGCCCCGCCCCUCGCAAGGGGGAGGCACUACGAUCUUGAGCUUCCUCUUUGCUUCCUUUGCUCCGCUGAGAAAAACCUCUUCUCUUCUUCGUUUCUUCGUCUUCCAUGGCAUCUCCAGGAGGCGAUCCUGGAAAGGGGAAACACGCGGCUUUGGCUGCGCCCUCGUCCGCCCCCGGGAGCAGCGGCGGAGGUCCCUUAGGGUCGCCGCGCGUCCGCCAUCGGUGGGCUCUGACUGAUGAGUAAGUCCUUCGUCUGCACCUCCUUUCCUUGUUGCCCCAUCCGCUGCUUGGUGGUUGAUCUUCCCUUUUCUCCAGGGUGCCCGCAUCCAAGAAUCUCAAGCUCGGCGAGCUUCAGGAGGAGGCGGAGGGGGUGCAGGCUCAGCUCGAGAGUGUCGAGGCCGCCCUCCAGGCCGUCCGCCAGGGCAAGGCGGAGUUGGCGUCUCUGCAGAGACAGGUCCAGGAGGCGGCCGACACCGUUCAGGCCGCCCAGGACGAGGCAGCGUAUGCCCGGAUGAUGGAGUCCCAGCGUGCCAAGUUGUUUAAGAGCAUCACCGGCCAGGCGGCAAGCGCGAUGCGCCGAUUCGUGGGGGAUGCCUCGGCGCUGCCAAAGGUGAGUAGUGACGGGGGCUACCUCGCCUUCUUCCAGAAGGUGGUGGAGACGCUGGAGGCCGGCAUCUCCCGCGUGGAGGAGGACAACGCGUCCGACGCACACGAGCUUCUGGGCCUUGCCUUGAUGCUCGUCUUCUCCAACCUGCACCGGCUCGUCCCAUAGCUUGAUCUCCAGCGCAUCGUCGAGCCGGUGCCCGCUGAGCUCCGGCAUCUUCCGGGACGAAGUGCGCCCGCGCAUGGACGCCCUAGUGGAGCGGUACGUCCGAGUGCCCGUCUCCAGUGAGGAGGAGGGCUCCGACACUAAGCCCGCCGAUGCCAACGACGGUGUCGGCGGCCACUCACCGUAGGCGUCCCCCAACUUCUGUUUUCCUGCCCGUGUAAUGUUGGACCAUGAACUCUGCUCUAUCGGGCGUUAGACUGUUGUAUCUUACCUUCGCCGUUCUCCGUUUUUCCUUUCGCUCUUGAAUUGAUGGCUUGCUCGCUGGUAGUUGCUGCGGCUUGGCUUCCUUGCAUAGGGCCCGUCACUGACCCAGCCAUUGCUCGGGGGCAACGGCGGCCAGGGGCCCUCAGGUCGUCCCAUCCGCCCAAGGCAUUGUUUGUCCUGCUACAUGCUUGGUCGAUGGCCUCGUUCCUCGCCGCAGCUUCAUUCUUAGGCCCUGCAUCCUUUCGUUAGUUCGCGUGUUUUUAAUUCGUUCUUGGUUUGACGCGAAAUCAGAUGGACCCCGUCUGGGCCUGCGGGGUACUUAGCUCGUGGGUUUGCGCCGGUCCCUUUCAUAGCUCCUCCUAAGUAGCUCCUCCUUUGUAGGUGGGACGGGGUGGAGACCCUUUCGGCACUCUAUGUCUGCGGGUCCCGGUCCCGCACAUUUCCCUACUGCCGCGAGGCGCAACCCGUUACCAAGGUUGUUCCUCAUGGGGAAAGGCCCCGACGCCCUGGGUGCCGACAUGGGCGACACCUUGGUGGCCGAGUGGCUUUGCGACUAUUAAGGCCCCUGAGGCAUGGUGCUCAGGAACCGCCCUUGACACUCAAGACGCUCUACGUCGACAGGCCCCGGUCCCGCACAUUUCCCCACUGCCGUUAGGUUCGAGGCACUUCAUUCGGUGGGGCCCCGUUGCCCCCGACACCGACUGGAGCUCCUUGACGGCACCAGGGGUGGCGAGUGGACUUAUGACUGGUAAGUCUCCUGCAACAGUGCCCAGGAGCCCCCUUUGGCACUCGAGCGAUUCCCAUUUCGUCCCUUGGGUCAUCGCCCCAGGGCACAGUGAGGCCUCCCGAGACUCUUUGUGCUGGUAUCGCGCUUCGAUCCGGGCCCCCGAGCGGGGGUCGGCCGCUGAAAAUGUUUGCCCCUGGGAUGGCAAGUCCUUGCUUUCAUGCUCCUUGGCGCCUAGGGGCGGUGCGGAGCAUUUAGCUCCUUAGAAAAUGUCAUCCAAAAAAGGAGGCUUCGAAUACGGCGAAACGAGAAAGCGCAAGAUAAAAUUUCCCCCGUUUUGGUUUUUCAAACAUCAACUUUUGAAAUCGACAAAUUUAAGUCCACGAGAGAAUAAUUUAAGUUCUAGGACGACGCAAGCAAACGCCGCAUCCGGCACCUAGACUAAUCUCCGCGGCCAUCUCCCCCAGAGUGGAGCAUAGGGCUUCCACUAGGCGUGGGAGGGACCCCUCCGCGUCCUUGGGGGGCCCCGGGCGUAUACAGCUGCUACGGUGACAGAAAUCCUCUAUCGUCUCUUGAGCUUGCGUUGAUUUUUCCCUUGAAGAGGAAAGGGCGAUGCAGCACAGGAGCAGUAAGUUUUGAGAAUCAAGGUAUCAAUCCAGUCGGAGAAUCUCGUCAAGUCCAGAGUACCUGCACAAACACAAAAGAGCUUGCACCCAACACUAUAAAGGGGUUGGCAAUCCCUUCAAGAUUGAUUGCAAAGUGAGAUGUGAAGGCAGAAAGUGCAACGAAGAAAAAGUGUAAGGCUGAAAAUAUGGUGUGAAGUAGACCCGGGGGCCAUAGUGUUCACUAGAGGCUUCUCUCAAAAUAGCAAAUAUUACGGUGGGUGAACAAAUUACUAUCGAGCAAUUGAUAGAACCGCCCAAAGUCAUGACGAUAUCUAAGGGAAUGAUUAUACAUAUAGGCAUCACGUCCGAGACAAGUAGACCGAUACUUUCUGCAUCUACUACUAUUACUCCACACAUCGACCGCUAUCCAGCAUGCAUCUAGUGUAUUGAGUUCAUGACGAACAGAGUAACGCCUUAAGCAAGAUGACAUGAUGUAGAGGUAUAAACUCAAACCAAUGAUGAAACCUCCAUCUUUUUACCCUUGAUGGCAACAACAUGAUGCGUGCCUCGCUACCCCUUCUGUCACUGGGUGAGGUCACCGCAUGGUAUGAACCCAAAACCAAGCACUUCUCCCAUUGCAAGAAUCAUAUAUCAAGCUGGCCAAACAAAACCCCCAACUCAAAGAGAAUUACAAGGAUAUGAAAUCAUGCAUAAGAGAGAUCAGAAGAAACUCAAAUAAGAUUCAUAGAUAAUCUGAUCAUAAAUCCACAAUUCAUCGGAUCUCGACAAACACACCGCAAAAGAAGAUUACGUCGGAUAGAUCUCCAUGAAGAUCAUGGAGAACUUUGUAUUGAAGAUCCAAGAGAGAGAAGAAGCCAUCUAGCAAGUAGCUAUGGACCCGUAGGUUUAUGGUGAACUACUCACGCAUCAUCGGAGAGGUCAUGGUGUUGAUGAAGACGCCCUCCGUAUCUGAAUCCCCCUCCGGAAGGGCACCAUAACGUGCCCGAGAUGGGAUCUUGCGGAGACAGAAGCUUGCGGCGGCGGAAAAGUACUUUCGAUGAUCUCCUGAUUUUUUCUGGAAUUAUUGGGAAUAUAUAGGCGAAAGACCUAGGGCAAAGAUGGCCCAGGGAGCCCACAAGCCUGGGUGGCGCGGGCCCCUUGGCCGCUGCUAGGGGACUUGUGGGGUCCCUGGUGGCCCCCUGCCUUGGUUCUCAAGCUUCCCGAUCUUCUUCUGUGUCGGAAAAAAUAUUUUUGGAAGUUUCGUUCCGUUUAGACUCCGUUUAAAAUCAUCCUCUAAAAGGGGUCAAAAACACGGAAUAAACAGUAACUGACACUUGGCACUGAGUUAAUAAGUUACUCCCAAAAAGAUAUCAAAGGCAUACAAAACAUCCAAAGUUUGAUAGGAUAAUAUCAUGAAACCAUCAAAAAUUAUAGAUACGUUGGAAACGUAUCAACAACCACAUCUCGUUAUUACAUGAGAGUGUGACGGGGGGUGUAUCUGGGACGUCGUGAGGAUGCUUUAUCCUCGAGAGUGUCCCUACCCCCGUGGCAUAGGCGCCUAAUUCCUUUUGAGUCUUCACCCAGGGCGGAGCAUAGGUCAUCCACUCGGCAUGGGAGGGUCCCCUUCUGCGUCCUCGGGGCGGCCUGGGCGUAUACAACCUCAGCUCUUUAUUACGUGACAGUGUCACAUGAUGAAGUAGAUUUCGGAAGGAUUGAAGGACGCCGCAGAGGUGCCCCGGGUUGAUGCAGGUCCCGCGGGGACUGUAGGGCAAACGCGAGGGCGCUCCGGCCUCACGAUGUUUCCUCCUUGGGGUCGGUUUGCCCCUGAUCCCUUCUGUAGAUAGGUCCCUUCAAGGCCCCGCCCACUCCUUCUCCUGAGACUGGUUGAGGGCCUUUCUGCUGCUCUACGUAGGCAGGUCCCAGUACCGCGCAUUUCCCGACCGCCGUUGCAUACGGCCGAAUGACGGACGCAACUACGGGGUCAAGCGCUGCCACCCAUGAUAACGACCAAAUGUCCGUGGACGACAUCAUGGGUGGCAGGUGGCCAUAUGACCGGUAAGGCUCCUGAGGCUCGAUGCUCACGAGCCCCCUUUGACGUUCGAGUGGCUCUGCGUCGCCAAGACCCGGUCCCACACAUUUCCCAACCACAGUUGCUUGUGACUGAAUGGACAAAUGAAGCUACGGAGUCAAGCCCUUCCACCCCUGAUAAUGACUGAAUGUCCGUGGACGGCAUCAAGGGUGGCAGGUGGCCUUAUGACCGGUAAGGCUCCUCAGGCUCGAUGCUCACGAGCCCCCUUUUGACGCUCAAGCGGCCCCCAUUUCAUCCUGUUGAUUGUGGACUUGGGAAGCCGCGGGGCCUCCCCAGGUCCCGCGACAGGGCGACACGCACCGACCGGAGCCCCCGAGCGCUUGAAGUUCAUGCGGGGGGGGGGUAGAUCGCCCAAAGAUGCAAGCAAGGUGAGAUGUCAGAUCACCGAAUGGGUGCAACAGAAGUUAUGGAAGCAUGCGUAAAUGAUAUGAUGGGUAGAGGUGUACCCUGAGCUCUUGAAGUUCAUGCGGCCAGCAGACAUCCCCUAGAGCAGUGAACCCAAAAAAUUACCUUGCAUAGCUUCUUCGCGCCUGAGGGGCGCCUCGUGAGGCCCGACCCUCGGCGCACACACCAGCACCGUUGUCGCCGCUGGUGACCCACGCCACUUCUUUCUCGUUGCUUACUUUGACUCGUCCUCCUGAGGCCGGGGACCCGGUUCUUCGUAGUUUCUCCGCGGGGGCGGCGGCUCGCGUCAUGCCCCGCGGCUUGGGGGCGCCUCCUUGCCCGUGCCUCUUGGGCCUAGUGCUCCGCCAGUGGGAGCUGUAGGGUCCGGCUCAAGGGGGACCCCCGGAGCGUUCCUCACUCCUGAGGAGUACUGGCGCCUGGGGUAGACGCUUGAGGCUCUACCUCGACGGGAGGGUUAGGUGGUGUUACAUAACACGGUACGUAAGGCUCAACGUAGGUGUUUGAUCGACCUCCAAGUCCGUUCACCAGUGCAACGGUGGCGGUCCCUCUCUAUGGCGGGGGGAGUCCCCCUCGGUCGCGUUGCUCGGAGAUCUUCUUGCGAUGGGCCUCCGCACAAAGUCGCUUGCUCCUGUUGUCGUAGUUGGGUGGUCCCGGCACUGCCCAGUGCAGACUCCCCCCUUGGUACCUUGGCGUGACUCCAUCGCCGUAGUUCGCCCUCACCGACGCCUCCGCCGCCCGCUGGCUGCGCCUGAGGGAGCGCUCCCGCCUGGCCGCCCCUAGUUGUGGGGGACCGACCUGGUUUUGGUGAUGCGCGCCGGUGUGUACAUUGAAUUUCCUGCCAUUCUCUUCGCGCCCCUGGUGAUUGACGGCAUGCUGCGCCUCGAGGCCGGCCACCGGAAUCUGUAGGAGGAGGAGGGCAGCAUGCGAUGCGUCUCUCUUGGCCCCACCCAGCGCAGGAGAGGCCCUUGGCGCCUGGCGCCAGCGGCCUUGAAGAAGAGUGGGGUCGGAUGGCCUCCUGGGUGAUGGCGAUCAGCUCUGUGAUGUGGUCCGCCCAAGCGUCGAAGCCCCCUUGCGUCGGUCGAUAGCAUAGCAUCUCGCUCGCCAUCUGCAGUGCGUCAUGCGCGCCGAGGUCCCCCAAGUUGAUGCAGCACGUCGUGGAUGCCGGGGACGCCCCACAGCCGGCGCGCGCCUGGGUGGCGCAGGUGGUUGCGGCGGUGGAGAUGAUGUUGACGAUCUGGUGCGAGCCGCCUGGUACCACAACGCCAAUACACGUUCUUUCGGCCGCUGUGGCACGAUGAUGGAAGACAACUCAACGAGGCUCGAAGAAGCUUGUUGGGCAUGGGUCAUCGGAGCAGCGGGACUUUGGGAAGAUGAAGCUCGGGGAAGACCUUGACACGCCCCUACCUGGCGCGCCAAAUGUCGGAUUUUGGGCUCCGCAAAACCCUAAGGAUUUACACUCAGGGGCUCGCCUCACCUAACUUGCUACUCGCUAGGGACGGCAGAGAACUCACUCGAUGGCGAGGAAGACACAUAACACGACAGUUUACCCAGGUUCGGGUCACUCUGAAGCGUAAUACCCUACUCCUGCUUUGGUGGAUUGCCUCUCGUGGAGGUUGGGGAUGAACUAGUAUAGUGUUUGAGGGCCUCCGGAGGCCUGGUGGCCUUUGUGUGGUGCCAGUGCAUGAAUGAAUGAAUUGGAUCCCCUCUAUGAAGUAACCUACUCUCUAUGUACAUAGUGGCGGCCCCGGUCCUCUUCCCUUAUCAUUUCGGCGGGAAGAGAUCCCACAAUGGCCAAAUUUGAAGGGGAUAGGGGAACGUGCGCCCCUGUCCAAAGGCAGUCUUCGCCUGCAAAGUGGCUGUCAGCACAGUUGGGGUCGGUCCAGGGAUGACGUCUGUCCUAGUGGCCGACGGCGAUGUCCUUGUUGCACCAAAAAGGAAACCUUUGGAAGAUGCCUUGGGAACCCUGGUUCAUCCUUGCCCCCUUUGCACUAAAGGGGAAACUGCUCCGUCCUGCUGUAUGCUGCUCGUUUGUCCUUCUUCCACGUCAUCAUUGACACCUGAGGCCGGGUCUCGUCUCGGAAUAUCCGCCGCUCUAGAGGGGUCUUGAUGAGGCCCCCUGCGGGUCUUGAUGUUGUUCUUCCUCGCGAGGCUUGGGCCCUUGCGAUGACAUUGCCUUGAGUGGUGUCGCGCCCGGUUGUGCUUGAUUGAUGAUAUGGGCCAGCCCAGGGCCACAUGUAGGCAGGUCUGGGUACCCCCAUUCCGAGAACAUCGACAACAUUAAUAUCAUGAACCCACAAUUUCUCUAUAUUUGCUACAUGAUGGUUUUAAUUAUCAAUCAUUGAAUACUCAUUAUUUUUGAUCUAGUCUUAUGACCCAUGCAUAUUACCGUCACUAUUUGUCUAGCUCUCAAACAAAUAUAAGUGAAGAAAGAUAGCAUGAUAUUUGUAUAAAACCUACACACCAUUGUUCUCAAAAAGAUAUAAGUAAAGUACUAGAGCAACUCCUAAGCUCAAAAGAUAUAAGUGAAUCACAUAGAGUAUUCUAACAAAUUGAAAUGAUGUGGUAUCUCUCUCAAAUAGGUGUGUAAAGCAAAAAAUAUUGUGGUAAACUGGAAGUAAAAACAAACAACAUCAAACCACGCUCCAAGCAAAACUCAUAUCAUGUGAUGAAUAAAAAUAUAGCUCCAAGUAACAUACCGAUGGAUUGAGACGGAAAGAGGGGAUGCCUUCUUGGGCAUCCCCAAACUUAGAUGCUCGAGUCUUCGUGGAAUAUUACCUUGGGGUGCCUUGGGCAUCCCAUCUUAUGCUUUUUCUACUCCUCAAUCCUUCGUCCAUCAGGAUAAUACCCAACACUUGAAAACUUCAGUCACAUAAAACUAGAAAAAAACUUCGUGGGAUACGUUAGUAUAAGCAACAUUUCAAAUACUUUCAGGGGAUGUUACAGGUUGAUUCUUGUUUGAUUUUAGCAUAGGGAACUGUAUCACAACUCCUCCAUAGCUUAUACCCCCUGAUACAAUACAUAGCAUCCUCAAAGCAAGCAAACUACGCAUGCAAAAGCACAAUCUGACUGAAAUAGAACAGUCUCUAGUAAUCUGUAAUGAACCUAUACUUAUGUAACUCCAAAAGUUUUGAAACAUUAGGACGACCUGAGUAAUAUUUAUAGAAAUACUGUGUAAAAAUUUCCAGCUUAAAAAUACGUACCAGUAAAAUCAGAGAAAUGCUGCACUUGACGUCAAAGUUUAUGUUUUUGCACCGUAUCAAUUCUACUCAUCAUACAAAUCAUCCCAAAGGCUUUAAUUUUCACAAACACUAACUAAAACAUAAAAACACAAGCAUUACGGAGGCAAUAAUCGUGUUAUCACAAACUAACAGAAAGUAAAAAGCAAAAAGAAAGAUAACAACUGGGUUUCCUCCCAACAAGCGCUAUUGUUUAUGCCCUAGCUAGGCAUAUUGCAUAGUUUCAAGUAUUGCCAUCUUUGACAUUAAGCUCAUUGAUCACACAACCAUGAGUAAGAGGAGGCUUAAGAAUAGAAUCCUUUAUCAGGUUUACAAACUUGGGAUGAACAUUAAUUGUUUUGAGGUCUUCGUUUCUUUUGGUGAGAGGUGUACUAAUGCUUUUAGGAACAAAUAUGAACUUGGGACUUUUGUCUCGAGAAGUACUAGCAAUAGUUUUAGAUGGUGUAAAGGCGGAACCUACUUUGUCAAUCACCUACUCCAUUUUAUCAAUUCUGCUCAAACCUUGUUCUACCCUCUCAUCAAUAAUAGUGUCCUUUUCCUUUAAGGUUUUCAAAGUCAUUCCUACACAUGACCCAAGUUGAGUGAUAUGAUUGUGCAAUUUUUUAUCUAACUCCUCAAUUGGUUCGUGAGUAACCAUUUUAUUUUCAAUAGCAUAAAUUCUUUGCAUAACAUGUUCCAAGGUUAAAUUGGUUUCAUUAGUGAUAAUGGGUGGUGUUCCAACAAGAUUUACAAUGGCAUUAUAGGCAUCCAAAGUGCGACACAUUACGAAAUUCCUACCGGUGAUGGUGUCAAGGACAAACCUAUGCCAAGUUAUCAUACCAACAUAAAAAUUAUGGAGCAAGGUAGUAGUGGAUAGCCUAUUAGUUGCUUUAUUUUGAGCAUAGAAAAUCCUAUAUCAUGCAUCUUUCAAACUUUCUCCUCCCCUUUGUUUAAAAUUGACAACAUCAUUAUUGAGAGUAAGGCGAACAAAGGAAGAACUAGCCAUGACUUCGAACAAGAAGACAAGUAUCAAGCGAAGAUAAAUAUUUUCGUAAUUUAUUUUUUAUUAGACAAACUAAAUAUACCAUCAAAUAAAAAACAAGAACGAGUGAAUGAAAUAUUGUGUGGAAUUACUUGGUAGUUGGUAAUGAUAUUCCCCAGCAACAUCGCCAAAAAUACAUCCUGAUACUUGUGAUGUGCGUUGGGUUUUCUGUGAAGAGGAACGGCUUAUCAUAGCACAAUGUGGGUAAGUAUUUCCCUUAGUUAUGGAACCAAGGUUCAUCGAACCAAUAGGAAUAUCAACCACAACUGUCUUCAGCGGAUGCACACAAAAGAACAAACAACUUGCACCCAACGCGGGCAAGAGGGUUGUCAAUCCUCUUGUGUUGUUAUUUGCAAGCAAGUGAGGUGUAUAGAUAAUUGCAGAUAGCAAUAUAAAAUAAAAACAAGUAAAUGGCAGCAAGGUGUUGAAGGUUAUAUCAAUAUGUUUUGAAUAGACCCGGGUGCCAUAGCUUUCCCUAACGACAUCUCUCAUGAAAACUAGCAUACGGUCGGUAAACAAAUUACUGUUGGGCAAAUGAUAUUCUAGGCAAUGAUCAUGUGUACAUAGGCAUGACGUCCAUAAAAAAAUAGGCAGACUCCUUCAUGCACCUAUAAAUAUUACUCCACUCAUCGAUCACUAUCCUGCAUGCAUCUAGAGUAUUAAGUAAAACAAAGUAACGCAUGGAGAAAAACGACAUGAUGUAGACAAAGUAAACUCAAUCAAUAUGAAUAAACCCCAUAUUUUUAUCCUUAGUAGCAGCAACACAAAUAUGCAUCUUGCCCCUUCUGUCACUAGGUUAUAGAAAUUCGCGAGGUUAAACCUACUUCAACACACCUCUCUCACCGAAGAAAUAUCUAUCUAGUUGGCCAAACUAUUUCAAUAGAUGAGAGAGAACUACGAAGCUAUCAUAAUCAUGCACAUAGAAAUGAUAUAAGAAUUACAGGAGACUCAAAUAUUUAUGAUGAAUAAUCUGAACACAAACCUAUAAUUUAUCGGAUCCCAACAAAUGCACCGCACAAAAGGAAUUACAUCAUAUAGAUCAAAGCGAAGAUGCGAUGAUCAUUGUAUUGAUGAUCAAAGAGAGAGAGAGAGAUUCCCAUCUAGGUAUUGGCUAUGGACCCGUAGGUCUGAGGUGAACUACUUACACAUCAUCAUGAGGGCAGCAAGCUUGAUGAAGAGGCCCUCUGUGAUCGAUCCCCCCUCCGGUAGGGUGUGGAAUGGAGCUCCAGAUGCCUCCCGUCAGGACAGAGACUUGCAGGAGCGUAAAAAGUGUUUCGGGACUCCCUAUGAUGUUUUUAGGGUAGAUGAGAAUUUAUAAGUGAGAGAAUGGAGUGUGGAUGGCCAUGAGGGAGGCACAAGCCAUGAAGGUGCCCCCAGGUCAUGCCCUCUUGUCUUGUGGCCCCCUCAUGAGGCCUUCAGCCUUCUUCCGAUGGUUGUUGGUAUUCUAUUGUUCUAGAAAAAAUCACUAAAAGUUUCAGGGCAAUUGGACUUCAUUUGGUAUGGAAAACCUAAAAAGGGAAAACACGCAGAAAACAACAACUGACAAUGGGCACUUGGUCAAUAGGUUAGUGCACAAAAAUAAUAUAAAUUAUAAGUAAAUACCCCAAAAGUAUUCUAGAAUGAUAAUAUAUCAGCAUGUAAAAAUCAAAAAUUAUAGAUACGUUGUAGACAUAUCAACCAUCCCCAAGCUUAAUUCCUACUCGUCCUUGAUACGUCUCCAACGUAUCUAUAAUUUUUGAUGGUUUCAUGCUAUUAUCCUGUCAAACUUUGGAUGUUUUGUAUGCCUUUUAUAUCUUUUUGGGACUAACUUAUUAACUCAGUGCCAAGUGCUAGUUCCUGUUUUUUCUGUGUUUUUGACCCCUUUCAGAGGAGGAUUUUAAACGGAGUCCAAACGGAACAAAACUUCCAAAAAGAUUUUUUCUGAAACAGAAGAAGAUUGGGAAGCUUGAGAACCAAGGCAGGGGGCCACCAGGGACCCCACAAGCCCCCUAGACGUAGCUAGGGGGCCCGCGCCUCCCAGGCUUGUGGGCUCCCUGGGCCACCUCUGCCCUAGGUCUUUCGCCUAUAUAUUCUCAUAAAUUCCAGAAAAAAUCAGGAGAUCAUCAAAAUUACUUUUCCGCCGCCGCAAGCUUCUGUCUCUGCAAGAUCCCAUCUAGCGCAUGUUCUGGUGCCCUGCCGGAGGGGGGAUUUGGAUACAGAGGGCUUCUUCAUCAACACCAUGACCUCUCCGAUGAUGCGUGAGCAGUUCACCACAGACCUAGGGGUCCAUAGCUAGUAGCUACAUGGCUUCUUCUCUCUCUUGGAUCUUCAAUACAAAUUUCUCCAUGAUCUUCAUGGAGAUCUAUCCGAUGUAAUCUUCUUUUGCAGUGUGUUUGUCGAGUUCCAAUGAAUUGUGGAUUUAUGAUCAGAUUAUCUAUGAAUCUUAUUUGAGUUUCUUCUGAUCUCUCUUAUGCAUGAUUUCAUAUCCUUGUAAUUCUCUUCGAGUUGUGGGUUUUGUUUGGCCGGCUUGAUAUAUGAUUCUUGCAAUGGGAGAAGUGCUUGGUUUUGGGUUCAUACCGUGCGGUGACCUCACCUAGUGACAGAAGGGGUAGCGAGGCACGCAUCAUGUUGUUGCCAUUAAGGGUAAAAAGGUGGGCUUUUCAUCAUUGGUUUGAGUUCAUCCCUCUACAUCAUGUCAUCUUGCUUAAGGCGUUACUCUGUUCGUCAUGAACUCAAUACACUAGAUGCAUGUUGGAUAGCGGUCGAUGUGUGGAGUAAUAGUAGUAGAUGCACAAAGUAUCGGUCUACUUGUCUCAGAGGUGAUGCAUAUAUGUAUGAUCAUUGCCUUAGAUAUCGUCAUAACUUUGCACGGUUCUAUCAAUUGCACGACAGUAAUUUGUUCACCCACCGUAAUUUUUGCUAUUUUGAGAGCAGCCUCUAGUGAACUCUAUGCCCCCCGGGUCUACUUCACACCAUAUUUUCAGCCUUACACUUUUUCUUCGUUGCACUUUCCGCCUUCAGAUCUCACUUUGCAAUCAAUCUUGAAGGGAUUGACAACCCCUUUAUAGCAUUGGGUGCAAGCUCUUUUGUGUUUGUGCAGGUACUCUGGACUUGACGAGAUUCUCCUACUGGAUUGAUACCUUGGUUCUCAAACUGAGGGAAAUACUUACUGCUCCUGUGCUGCAUCGCCCUUUCCUAUUCAAGGGAAAAACUAGCGCAAGCUCAAGAGACGACAGAAGAUUUUUGUCGCCGUAGCAGUCCUCAAGUAGGUAAAUGAUAAAAAAAAUUGAUGUGGCAUGCUAUCCUUGAUGUAAUCUUAUGCAGGUAUGCUCAUGGAGAAAAAAUGAAUUAACAAACAUUAACAUAGCAAUACUUAUAGGUAUAAGGAACAAAUCAUUAAUCAUUUAAAAUAUAUGAUCCUCAAAGAUUGUUUUACCCCCCAUCAAUCAUUAUUAUAUUAGCAAGGCAUGGCUCCAUCUUCACCACAUUAAUACAAAUUUCAAGCUCCACGGUGUCCAAGUCAGGCAAUUGGAUCAUACUUUUUCAAUAUGCAUGAACUUUAUAUUCUUCUCGCAAUACAUGAGCAUCAACCAUUGGGCAUAGCAUAAAGGUGAAAUAGAAUAUGGUGGUAGGUUUCAAACGGGUAAAAUGGAGAAUAUAGGCUCACAUCAACUAGGCGUACCAACAAGCUAUGAGAUGCCCGUCGAUAGAUAUCGAUGCGAGGAGUAGGGUAUGAUGCAAAUGAUGCACAAGAGCUAUGAGUGUAUGAAAGUUCCACUCAAGUUAUGUGGGGUGUGCAUCCAACUAGCUUGCUCAUGAAGACCUCGGGCAUUUAAGGAAGCCCGUCAACAGAAUAUACAAGCCAGGUUUAUGAAAAAGUGAUUCCCUCUAGCAUAAUAAUAAUAUAACAUGAGACUCUCUAUAAGAAGAACAUGGUGCCACUUUGAAGCAUAAGGGUGGUAAAGCAUAGUCUCAAAGUCCCUUCUCUCUUUUUCCCUCAUUAAUUUUUUCCUUAUGGUGGGAUCAUUUGGCCAUCCCCAUUUUUAUUUCCUCACUGGGACAAAGCUGUAAUAAUGAUGAUCAUUACACUUUUAUUUACUUAGAACUGAACAUGGAAGCUUAUAGGACGAUAUGACUCUGAAUGAAUGCCUCUCGCAGUGUACCAGGAUGUGCUAAGAUCUAGUGUGACAUGUAUCAAAAAUAUGAUGAACGGUGGCUUUGCCACAAAUACUAUGCCAAGUCCAUAUUAUCAGGCAAAGCAUUAUAAUUAUGAAUGAACUAGUCAUGUAAGUGACGAUGGCAUUUGCAUGGCAAUAUAUCUCGGAAUGGCUAUGGAAAUGACAUGACAGCUAGAUAUGGUGGAUGUUUUGAGGAGGAUAUAAAAAGGUUUAUGUGCAAUAGAGCAUGUCAUGUCACCGGGUUUGGAUGGACCGGCGAAAUUUUCACUGAUCUUCAAUGUGAGAACGGGCAAUGCAGGAUACCGAAGAGGCUAGAAAAUAUGAAGAGGUGAGAGUGCGUAUGUCCAUGGUGUCACAUUAGUCAUGAAUAAAUCAUAUACUUACUGCAAAGUUUUGUUAUUUCUAUCACAAUUCAAAGUACUACUCACAUGAGGUAGAGGGUUGGUAGGAAUUAACCAUCGCGCGACUCCGACUCAAAACAACACAAGGAUUUCCAUGAGGAAUAGAAAUGCUCACACAUCAUCACCAUGCCUUUUAAAUUUUUUAGAUGAACAAGAAGUUUAACAUCUCUUAAUAUCGACACCUCUCUGAAAUAAUAAUAAUGCAAUCCCACCUUUUUUCAUAUCACUACAUCAAUAUCAUUAACUCACAAUUUCUCUAUAUGUGCUAUAUGAUGGUUUUUAUCGUCACUCAUUGGAUACUCAUUAUUUUUGAUCUAGUCUUAUGACACAUGCAUAUUAACAUCACUAUUUGUCCAGCUCUCAAACAAAUAUAAGUGAAGAACGAGACCAUAAUAUUUCUAUAAAAUCUACACGUCACCGUGCUAAAAAAGAUAUAAGUGAAGAACUAGAGCAACUGCUAAGUUUAAAAGGUAUAAGUGAAGCACAUAGAGUAUUCUAACAAAUCGUGAUGAUGUGGUAUGUCACUCAAAUAGGUGUGUCCAGCAAGCAAUGAUUGUGGUAAACUGAAAAUAAAAGCAAACAAAAGGAAACAACACUGCAAGCAAAACUCAUAUCAUGUGAUGAAUAAAAGUAUAGCUCCAAGUAACAUAUCGAUGGAUUAAGACGAAAAGAGGGGAUGCCUUCGGGGGCCUCCCCAAGCUUUGACGCUUGAGUCUUCCUAGAAUAUUACCUUGGGGUGCCUUGGGAAUCCCCAAACUUAUGCUUUUGCUCCUUGAUACGUCUCCAUCGUAUCUACUUUUCCUAAUGCUUUUGCUCUUGUUUUGGAUUGUAACUUCCAUGAUUUGAAUGAAACUAACACGGACUAACGUUGUUUUCACCACAACUACCAUGGUGCUGUUUUUGUGCAGAAAUAAAAGUUCUUGGAAUGGAACGAAAUUUUUUGGAGAAUUUUUAUGGAAUAAAAUAAAAAUACUAGAACCAAGAUCCACUUGAGGGGAGGCACGACGUGCACACAAGGCACGAGGGCGCUUCAGCCCCCCUAGCGCAGCCAGGUGGCUAGUGGAGCCCACGGGGCUCUGAUGACCCAAACUCUAGCACUAUGAAAUCCUAUUUUCGAAGAAAAUAAUCAGAGAGGAAUUUUCAUCGCGUUUCAUGAUACGGAGCCGCCGUCACCUCCUAUUCUUCAUCGGGAGGCCAAAUCUGAAGUCUGUUUGGGGCUCCGUAGAGAGGAAUUUUCGGUCUUCGUCAUCACCAACCCUCCGUCAUUGCCAAUUCCAUGAUGCUCUCCACCGGGAGUGAGUAAUCCGUUCGUAGACUUGCUGGUCAGUGAAGAGAUGGAUGAGAUUCAUCAUGUAAUUGAGUUAGUUUUGUUAGGGCUUNNNNNNNNNNNNNNNNNNNNNNNNNNNNNNNNNNNNNNNNNNNNNNNNNNNNNNNNNNNNNNNNNNNNNNNNNNNNNNNNNNNNNNNNNNNNNNNNNNNNUUUUUUUUGAGACCGGAGUUUGCAAACGCGGAAGAAUUUUGAAUCUACAAAAACUCAAUCUUCUUUGUAUUACUUCAACGAUACUUUCUCUUUAUAUUGCCUCAGUCGACGGUCACGUGUAGAAGCGCUUCAGGAGAUCUCCGUUCCAUGCUCGCGGCUCGUCCGUUUUCCUGUCGAGGUUGGUGAGUCGAUAUGCUCCGUUGUUCAACACCUUGGAGAUGAUGAAGGGUCCUUCCCAGGCGGGAGCCAACUUGUGAGGUCUCUGCUGAUCCACUCAGAGCACCAGGUCGCCUGCUUGGAAUGUACGACUCCUGACGUGUCGCGCGUGAAAACGCCGCAGAUCUUGUUGGUAAAUGGUUGAGCGUGUCAGUGCCAUCUCGCGCUCCUCCUCAAGAAGAUCCACUCCGUCUUGCCGUGCUUGCUCUGCUUCAGCUUCAGAGAAGAGUUCAACUCGUGGAGCGUUGUGAAGCAAGUCACUCGGAAGGACUGCCUCUGCUCCGUAAACGAGGAAGAACGGGGAUCACCCUGUAGAUCUAUUUGGGGUUGUGCGGAGACCCCAAAGCACCGAAGGUAGCUCGGUGACCCAUGCGCCGGCGGCAUGUCCCACUUCUCGCAGGAGUCGAGGCUUCAAACCUUGCAGAAUAAGUCCAUUCGCCCGUUCUGCUUGCCCGUUUGUUUGGGGAUGCGCCACAGAUGCAAAAUCCACUCGGAUACCUUGGCCUGUACAGAAACCUUUGAAUCUGUCCGAGUCAAAGUUUGUUCCGUUGUCAGUGAUUAUGCUGUGAGGUACCCCGAAUCUGGAGAUGAUGUCCCUGACAAACUUGAUGGCCGUAAGGACGUCGAGCUUCUAGAUGGGCUUGGCUUCAAUCCACUUUAUGAACUUGUCGACUGCCACCAACACAUGUGUGAAUCCCCCUUGGUCUAUCCUGAAUGGACCGACUGUAUCUAAUCCCCAUACUACAAACGGCCGAACAAGAGGGAUUGUCUUCAACGCAGAUGUUGGCUUGUGGGACUUGUUAGAGUAGAAUUGACAGCCUUCACACCGGUCGACCAUAUCUUUCGCCAUUUCAUUCGCCUGCAGCCAGAAGAAGCCAGCUCUGAAUGCUUUGGCGACGAUUGCCCUUGAGGAGGAGUGAUGACCGCAGGUUCCCGAGUGAAUUUCUUCCAGGAUUAACUGUCCCUCCUCAGGGGAGAUGCAUCGUUGAAGGACGCCUGGAACGCUUUCUUUGUACUACUGGCCAUCAAUGACAGUGAACGACUUUGACCUAUGGACGAUCUGUCUGGCUUGGACUUCGUCUUCUGGUAAUUCUUGCCUCAGGAUGUAUGCAAUGAUCGGCACAGUCCAAUCGGGGAUGACAACAAGAAUCUCCAUGAUCAAAUCAACCACAGCCGGUACUUCGACUUCAGUCGGCUCUGUCGAGCUCUUUGGUUGUACUGGUUCCUCUGUGAAAGGAUCUUCUUUAACUGAGGGAAGGUGGAGGUGCUCGAGGCAAACGUCACUCGGGACUGGUCUCCGAGUGGAUCCGAGUUUUGCCAACUCAUCAGCUGCUUGGUUUUUCAGUCGCGGAACAUGGUGGAGUUCUAGACCUUCAAACUUUUUCUUGAGCUUCCUCACUGCAUUGCAGUAUGUGGUCAUGGUGGGGUUCCUGACGUCCCACUCCUUCAUCACUUGAUUAACCACCAAAUCCGAAUCGCCAUAGACCAUCAGGCGACGGACGCCGAGUGCGAUGGCCAUGCGCAGUCCAUAAAGGAGGGCUUCAUACUCUGCCUCGUUGUUGGAGGAAUCAAAGUGUAUCUGCAACACAUACUUGAGUUUGUCACCCUUUGGCGAUAUGAUCACAAUGCCAGCGCCGGAGCCAUUCAACAUCUUGGACCCAUCGAAGAACAUUGUCCAAUGAGCCGAGUAGAUGUGGGUCGGUUGCUGUUGUUCUACCCAUUCUGCACUGAAGUCAGCCAGAGCUUGAGACUUUAUAGCUUUCUUGGCCUUGAACUUGAUGUCGCAGUAUAACAUCUCCAUUGCCCACUUCGCCACUCGACCCGAUGCGUCCCGAUUGUGGAGGAUUUUCGACAAUGUAGCAUCAGAAAUGACAGACACCGAGUGGUCCUAGAAAUAAUGAGCCACCUUCUUCGCAGUCAUGUAAAUCCCGUAGAUAAGUUUUUGAUAGUGGGGAUACCUCUGCUUGGAAGGAGUCAGCACUUAGGAGACAUAAUACACUGGCCGCUGAACCUUGUAUGCUUUGCCUUCUUCUUCCCGUUCGACUGUGAGAACAGUGCUGACGACUUGAUUUGUAGCCGCGAUGUAGAGAAGAAGGGGCUGUUUACUGAGCGGAGCAGCAAGAACCGGCUGGGUGGAAAGUAGGACUUUGAGAUCGUCGAAUGCGACUUGGGCUUCGUCUGUCCACUCGAAAGUAUCUGAUUUCUUCAUAAGUCGGUACAGAGGAAGCGCCAUCUCGCCGAGUCGACUGAUAAACCUGCUCAAAGCCGCUAGGCAACCUGUGAGCCUUUGAACGUCGUGUAUUCUGACCGGCCGCUCCAUUCGAACGAUGGUCCCGAUCUUUUCGGGGUUGACAUUGAUCCCUCGUUCGGAAAGGAAGAAACCGAGUAACUUUCCGCUGGGAACGCCGAAUGAACACUUGGCUGGGUUGAGCUUGAUAUCGUACCUACGGAGGUUAGCGAAUGUUUCUGCCAAGUCAGUCAGCAGGUCGGAACCUUUGCGUGACUUGACUACGAUAUCAUCCAUAUACGCCUCCACAUUCCGACCGAUCUGGUCGAGGAGGCAUUUUUGGAUCAUGCGCAUAAAGGUUGCUCCUGGAUUCUUCAAACCAAAUGGCAUAGUGAUGUAGCAGAAGCACCCGAAUGGGGUGAUGAAGGCUGUUUUAAUUCAUCGGGGCCAUACAGACGGAUCUGAUGAUAGCCCGAGUAGGCAUCAAGAAAUGACAAACGCUCGCUACCUGCAGUCGAAUCGACAAUUUGAUCGAUGCGGGGGAGCGGAAAAUGGUCUUUCGGGCAGACCUUAUUGAGAUGCUUGAAGUCGAUGCACAUUCGGAGCGACUUGUCCUUCUUGGGAACCAUGACAACAUUGGCGAGCCACUCGGAGUGGUGUACCUCGCGAAUGAAGUUGGCUGCCAAAAGCUUGGCCACCACUUCUCCGAUUGCCUUCCUCUUGUGCACGGCGUUCCAAUGCAGGCGUUCUCGGACAGGCCGAGCGGCGGGAUCCACAUGCAGUCGGUGCUCAGCCAACUCCCUGGGUACACCUGGCAUGUCAGCGGGCUUCCAUGCGAAGAUGUCCCAGUUCUCACGGAGGAAUUGGAUGAGCUCGACUUCCUAUUUAGGAUCGAGGGUGUUGGAGAUGUUCGUCGGGGCAGCGGUGUCGUCCGUCGGGUGGAUGCUGACCUUCAUCGUCUCUCCCGCCGACUGGCAUGCGGACUCCGAAGCUGGUUUCUUCGAACACAUCAAGUCAGUGGGUUCAAAUGUUUUCUUGUACUCGUCAAGCUCGAGGACAGCCAUCUGCUGAUCGGCGAUCCUUGAUCCCUGCUGCAGACACUCCUCGGCCUGCUGCCGAUUGCCUGUGAUAGUAAUCACACCUUUUGGGCCUGGCAUCUUCAGCUUCAGGUACACGAAACAUGGGCAGGCCAUGAAACGCGCAUACGCCGGGCAGCCCAGAAUUGUGUGGUACGCGCUCUGGAAGUCCACCACCUCGAACGUCAGCUUUUCCUUGCGGAAGUUCUUGUCGGAGCCGAAGACGACGUCCAACGCGAUCUUGCCGAGUGACAUGGCCUUUCGUCCAGGGACGACUCCAUGGAGCUGCAUGCUGCUCUCGCUGAGUUUGGACAUCGGAAUGCCCAUCCCCUUGAGAGUGUCAGCGUACAUGAUGUUCAAGCCACUGCCGCCGUCCAUGAGGACUUUGCGCAGUCGGACUCCUUCCACCACCGGGUCGACGACCAGAGCCUAUCUCCAUGGGGUGGGUACGUGUGCUGGAUGAUCCGACUGAUCAAAGGUGAUCGCAGUCUGAGACCACUUGAGGUACGUGGGGUUGAUCGGCGUGGCCAUGUUCACCUCCCUGUUCACCAGCUUCAGUCGACUCUUGCUCUCAACGUCAGCAAAAAUCAUCAGUGUUGCAUGGACUUCGGGGAACGGAUCCUCCUUGUCCUCCUCAUCCUGUUCAUUGCCCUUUUCACUCGGUUGCCCUUCGCCGAACCCCUGGAUCAGGAGGCGACAUUGCCGAGUGGUAUGCUUCGGAUAUAUGGCGUUGCCCUCUUCAUCCAUCUUCGUGUGAAUCGGACAUGGCUGGUCCAGGAUGGGGUUUCCGAACUGCUUCUUCUUGGGGGUGAACUGAGCCUUCCCUUGAACUUGGCAUUGGUAACAGCUGCGGCCUCUGCCUGCGGAGUGGACGGAGCUUUCUGCUUCUGCUUCCAAGUGCUAUUCCCAUCUCCAUCGGCGACUGCUUUGUCCUUGCCGCUACGAAUGCGGUCCUCUUCUUCGCCAUUUGCAUAGCGUGCCACUAUCUCCAUCCUCUUACUCAUGGAGAUGUCGCCUGUUCGACCGAACUUCAGGUAAAGAUCUAUGUACCGCACGCCUGCCUUGAAGGCGCAGACUGCUUGGUGCUCUGUGACGUUCUCCACUGUGUGGUAGAGGUCGUCCAACGCUGAAUGAAAUUGCACAGGGGCUCAUUCUGCUUCUGGACACAGUGCUGGACCUCCACGAGGCCAGCAGGGCGUUUGCACGUCCCUUCGAAGGUCCUGAUGAAGACUCGGGCCAGAUCUGCCCAGCUGUAGAUGCUUGAGGGAGCCAACUGGUUCAGCCACGCUCGUGUCGAGCCGUCGAGCAUCAGAGGGAGGUGUUUCAUGGCGACGUGGUCGUCCCCUCCUCCGAUCUGGACUGCCACUCGGUAGUCGUCCAGCCACAUUUCUGGCUUGGAUUCUCCUGUAAACUUGCUGAUCCCCGUCGCCAAUCGGAAGUUGGGAGGGAUGUCAGCCGAACGGAUGGCUCGACUGAAACACUCGGGACCAGAGACGAUGGUCCUGCUUCCACUUGGACGGUCCAUAUCGUGACCAUCGCGGUGGGGUCGGCCCUUGUCGACCCUCCUCUGGGCGAUAUGCCCUCUCGCGUCGGGCCUCAGAUCAUAAGUGUCACCGACUGAACGCCGAUCAUCAUGAUGUCGGGGCCCGUAGGGCCCACCCCACGGAGGGGUGCGUGAGCGGCGAUGAUCUUCGGGAUUCAUGGAACGGCUGUCUCCCAUGUGUCACUAAUGAGAACCGGGGCUGUGAAUUGACCGAUGCGUGUUCACGUGAACAGAACUAUUGUGAAUCCUGUUGUGCGAUUGGGAGACCGCCGAAUUUUUUUGCUGCGCCGUGUGCAGCAGGGCACGGAUUUUCUCGAUCCCUCUGCCAGCGUCUGAAUCAGUCGGCUGGAGGGAAUCCUCUAUCUUGGCGGCGGCAGCGAGGUUGAGGAUGGAUGUGCGGAACACCCCCACGUUGCUCCGCCGAGUGUGCCGACUGGCAGAACGGCGGGGCUUACGGCGAGCGCCGGAUGUUUCGCUGACCUCGUGCUCGUUCCGGCCAGUUUGGCGGGGACUUUCAUGGGAGUUGGCCAUGUGCACUUCAGUUGCAGGCCCGCGACCCAAGUACUCGAAAGGAAACUCAGUCGGAACUGAGUCCGAGCGCUGGGACGGCGGCGCAACCACAACUGACUCUAGGACCGCCACUUGUGAGGACGCGUUCUGGCGCGCCUGGGCGUGUUGCACCCAACGCUGGAGCCGCGGACGGCGGGCCCGCUUGUUGCGGCAUGUGACGGCGGCAUAGGUCGACACCGGAGCCGACUGCUGGAGAAGAAGAAUAUCGCGGGCGCCGGCACGGAAGUGCAUAGCCCCGCGACUGGGGAGCGCCUCGACGUCGAGAGGGGCGUCCCGAAGCCAUGCCGAAUCAUCGACGAUGAAGGAGAGAGCGCCGAAGAGGAUCUCGUUACCCAUGCUCAAAUCUCCACCGGAUGACAUGAUGAAAAGAUGUAGUCGCAAACUCGCCGGAAGUCGCUUAGACGCCUGCCCCACGAUGGGUGCCAACUGUCGUGGGUAUAAGUCUGACAGUAGAUGUGUAGGGUACGAAAGGAUGGGCAGAGCCUUAGCUACGGCGAGGUUGUAUGAGUUCAGGCUCCUCUACGGUGGAGGUAAAAGCCCUACGUCUCAGUGCUCUUGGAUCUUGUUGUCGAGUGGAAUAUGGAUUACAGUGAAUUGCUAACCCCUGCACGAGUGGGGAAGGGCGGCUUAUAUAGAGUGCGCUGCCCUUCACAACGGUUUGGUGCACAGGGGUGGAGUAGUGGCAAAUAAAUGCCUACGUUAUAGGUAACGUAUGUCUUAAAUGCUAAUAAAGGUACAUGGAAACGUAUGACCGUUGCCCUCCAGGGGGGUUACGAUGCACAGAGUGGAAUCCAGUCGGUAAGCUCGAUACGCUCCGAAUGCUCAUCUCCCACUGGAUGAUGGUGGAAUCGUCACCGACUGGAUGAUGGGAAGUCCUUAAUUCAGUCGGAACUGACUAAGGGCCUNNNNNNNNNNNNNNNNNNNNNNNNNNNNNNNNNNNNNNNNNNNNNNNNNNNNNNNNNNNNNNNNNNNNNNNNNNNNNNNNNNNNNNNNNNNNNNNNNNNNUCCUCCUCCUCCUCCUCCUUUUUCUUUUACUUCUUAUUCUCUUCUUGCUUCUUCUCUUUCUCUUCAUCUACGUAGCUUAGACUCAUCCAACAAAGACUAAAUUGGCUAAUUAUCCUACAAAAUGACAUAAUUAGCUUGGUUAGGUGAAAACAUCAUAAGAACCUUGGUUAGCUCAAUAAAAUGACCAAUUUCUCUAAAAAAUGAAAUAAUAAGCUCAAAAUGGCAUAAGAACCUUGGUUAGCUCAUGAAUAUUCUAUACUUAGCUUGGCUUCCACCUAAAUGAUAUAAUUAGCCAAUUUAGCUCCAAUAUGGCUUAAUAAGCAUAGUUAGCUCCAAAAUGACAUAUUUAACCCAAGUGAGCUCCGAAACGACCUAUAGUUAGCUAGGCUUCCACCUAAAUGACGUAAUUAGCUUAGUUAGCUCCAAAAUGACCUAUUUAAUAAAAUAAAUGACCUAUAGUUAGCUAAGUUCUCUCCUAAAUGACAUAAUAAGGCUUACGUAGCUGCAAGAUGACCUAUUCCCCCUAACUUAGGUAUUAAAUGGCCUAUAAUUAGCUUAGCUAGAUCCAGGGGGAAUGGCUUAAUAAGCAUAGUUUGCUCCGGAAUGACAUAUUUAAACCAAGUAGCUCCGAAAUGACCUAUAGUUAGCUAGGCUUCCACCUAAAUGACAUAAUUAGUUUAGUUAGCUCCAAAAUGGUCUAUUUAAUAAGACAUGACCUAUACUUAGCUAAUUAUCCUCGAAAUGACAUAAUUAGCUCCAAAAAGGCAUUCUUAGCUAAUUUAGCCCGAAGAAGGGGACACGAGGAGAAGAAAGAGGAAAAAUGAAAAGAAGGAAGAAGAAGAAGUAGAGAAGAAACAGAAGAGAAUAAGAAGGACAAGAAGAAGGAGAAGAAGGANNNNNNNNNNNNNNNNNNNNNNNNNNNNNNNNNNNNNNNNNNNNNNNNNNNNNNNNNNNNNNNNNNNNNNNNNNNNNNNNNNNNNNNNNNNNNNNNNNNNGGUCACAAGAGAUAUACAAGAAAAUAUCAUGUGGUGUAUGCUCUUUGUGAAUGAUGCGAUGCUAGUCGAUGAUAGUCAGAUGGUGGUUAACAGGAAACUAGAGCUAUGGAGACAAAUUUUAGAAUCAAAAAGUUUUAGGCUUAGUAGAACUAAAACUGAGAAGACAAGGUGUGGUUUCAAUACUACUAGACAUUAGGAGGUUAACCUUGAUGGACAUGUGAUACCUUAGAAGGACACCUUUCAAUAUUUGGGGCCAAUGCGUAGAAGGAUGGUGAUAUCGAUGAAGAUGUGAGUCAUCAAACCAAAACCGUAUGGAUGAAGUGGUGCCAAGUUUCUAACGUCCUCUGUGACAAGAGAGUGACACAACAACUAAAAGGCAAAUUCUAGGACGACGAUUCAACUCGCAAUGUUGUAUGGCAGCGAUAUGUUCAACAAUAAGGUGUAAGAGAGGUAUGCAUGUUAAGAUGAAUGUGUGGCCACACAAGAAUGGAUCCGUAUGGAAUGAUUAUAUGUGUGAGAGCGCUGGGAUAGCACCGAUUAAAGAGAAGCUUGGCCGACAUCUUCUAAAGUUGUUUAGGCAUAUACUACACACGCCUUCGAAAGCUCUAGUGCAUAGCGGACGAUUAAAUUGUGUUGAUAAUGUCAAGAGAGGUCGGGAUAGAUCAAACAUGACAUGAAAGGAGUUUGUAAAGAGAGAUAUGAAGUGAAGCACUAAAAUAUCACAAAAGAACUAGUCGUGGAUAAAGCUGCGUGGAAGUUAGCAAUCCGCGCGUCAGAACCAUGAGUUGGUUUCAAGAUCUUAUGAAUUUUCACUCUAGCCUACCCUAACUUGUUUGGGAUUAAAGACUUAAUUGUUGUUUGUUUUGGGGUGCUUCUGGUGAACUUUUGUAAUAGUUCCGAGUUAUUUUCGCAAAAGGAAAAUGUGAAACACUAGACCACUUCAAAUUCAUUAAUGCUAGGAUCCUAGCACAAAAGUGGAUCAUAUGGCUGAUGAAGAAAACUGUAUGAACAUCCAUCUGUAGGUACACACCUCAAAUUCUAACCUAUAAACGAAUCCCACCUGUACCUACUAUUUUCUUAUAAGAAAUCAAUUUCAUUAUUCACCACGGGCGGUGCUCUUAGUCAAAUAAGCCCGUUAUGCUCCCUAACAAAAGCAAGUAGGAGUAGGAGUAGUUUCACCUCCUAUCCAAGUGCUGAUAAUUUCCACAAGAUAUCAUUCCAGGAUUCAGUUCGUGCAUGAUAAUGCUAGCCAUGUGCUGCAACUUUGCACGCAGCAGACACACACACACGCACGCGCUCGUGCGCACGCCCACACACAGACAUAGUGCUGCAGUGCACACAUCCCACUAAGAAUCUAACAUGGACCAACCAGAUAGGCAGAGAAUUUAAUGGCGUUAUUUAUAUAUUUCCCAAAUUGUCGUUACUCUUGUAGGCUAGCAGCUAGUACAAAUUUCAUACUAAGAGACAUGUUUGAAUCAAAUCGUGGUUUAAUUAAGAGCAAAGUUCACUGACCUGGGAUGGCGCUAUUGGUGCAGCAGCAUAUGUGGGCAAAGUAUAUGUCAACGCCUAAGUCGACAUGGUAAUAAGCUUGUCUGCCAUAACCGGAGCCUAACAGAACCCUGCACCCAAAAAAAUAAGGAUCGUGCACCACCCAUGGUAGAGGUGCUCCAACAGGGUAGGUGAUUGGAUGAGGCCUAUAUACCUAGGUGAGCACAUGUAAACAGUAACCUCUGGAAGGCAGGUAUCAUGUACCCUUCUAUAUAUAAUCAGAAAAGACUGAAGAUCACGACUUGCCAAUGAUCCCACUACAUCGUCAUACACAGAUCUUUCAUAAAUCUGGCUGUAUUUGAUUAUGAAGAAUUGGAGAUGCAGGCACGAUCAAUGGUCCACUGCAACAUAGUGCCUAUUCAUGUUCUCAAGUCUUAACAACCAACCGACAAUGUAUUUUCUAACAGACAGGUCUCAAAACCCAUAAUGCAAAUUCAUGCUCUCACUAGUCAGUAAAUGUGUAUAAUAAUCAUCAGAGAAGGUACACAUUUCUUAGCUGGUUUAGAUCCAUCUCAUUUUAUAAGCAAUUAUCUCCCCAGACAUUAUCCACUGAUUUACUGACUUACAUAUCUAUCUCAGGAAUUAUAAUCCUAGUUCUGUAAGCUAGGUAGCCUACUAUUAGAAAACUACUAUCAACUCCAACAUUUCUCAACCAUCUGAUGCUGGACCACAAAACCAUGUGUAGGACCUUCAUAUGCAGAUUCAAUGGCCAGAGGGCCUACAGAAGGUGAUCUGUUUGAUUCCAUGCAGGAAAAGGCCUAAUCACUUUUUUAAGACUAGGGUGAGGAGCACAAAAAUUAGUACUGUAGGUGACAAGACAUGUUUCUAACAUACUGCUUAUACAACCAGCUACAGUAAGAUUUCCAAAUGCAAGCAUCCAAAAGCAAUUGAGAUGUGGGAAACUGCUUGAGAUUCGAGUUUAGUGACCAAAGUAUGGCUUUUUGGAUUCUAGCAGGUGAUAAAAUAUAAUUAAGCUCUCCAGGUGUAUACAGUACAAUUCUGUGAGCCUGACAUCAAGUUAACUAACAGCUGUCCCUCUUAAAGUCUCAAGUCUUAAGCCACUAAUGCGUGGACAUUGGUAUCCUCCUUUAGACCUGAAAUGCGUGGACAUUGGUAUCCGUGCCACUUCUGGCUGAUAACACUAUGAGAAAGGGAAGUGCAUGUGUGGCACAAAUGAUGAAACAUAACUGAACCUUAAUUAUCCGUGCAUAUUGCUAAAGUGAUUUCUAGAAAAAAAAACUGAAAAACGGGCCCCUGCUGUGACUACAGGACCUUGCAGUUUCAACCCUGAACAUGGCAAUAUCUCCCUCAGUUGUUUACUUAAGCACCAACUUGUUUGGCAUGGACAUCACAUAUGAUAAGUGUGUACACUUCACUGUCAACCAUGAAUGUAGUAAUGGACCUAAACAUGGACACACAUAACAAAUUAUAUAUUAGAUUAAAAUUCAAAACAUUUGGUAACAGAACUUGAAUUUGAUCAUCUCAUAUUGGCAUAUUGCUGCUUAAGUUCAUCUUAUCAAUUAAAUGUAUGAAUGAUAUCCUCUUAAAACUUGUUCCAAUUACCUAUAGCUACAAUAACCGCAAUGAACUGCAAUGCCAUUUACAUAUUUAUCAACACAUCUAUCUACAAGUUGGUAAGACAUAUAUUCAGAAGUACGACAUGGCAGCUCACGCAAGCAUUAUGAAUAACUGGAACAACAGAUACAUAUUACCAAAUUCAUGCACAUUAAUCAAGAGAAGAAAUGCUUUUGUGUGUAGGUCACCCGUACACAUACCGAUCAGUUUAGAAGCAUGUGUCACAUGCUAUCAAAGUGAAAAGCAACUAGAAGUGUGCCUUGUCCUCUACAUGACUCUCAAAGGUGAAGCUUGAAAGUACUUCCAUAUCAAAUGUCAACACUUUUCUUAUCUUGAUAAGGGCCAUUAGGGGCAGCCCGGUGCACGUAGCUCCCGCUUGCGCAGGGCCCGGGGAAGGGUCCAACCACUUUAGGUCUAUAGUACGCAGUCUUUCCCAACAUUUCUGUAGGAGACUGUUUCCAGGACUCAAACCUGUGACCUCAUGGUCACAAGGCAACAGCUUUACCGCUGCGCCAAGGCUCCCCUUCUGAUAAGGGCCAUUAUUGUGAAAUAGUACCCGUGUCCUCCAGAAUACCUGCAAAGAACACAUGCAUAUAUUAUUUUUAUCUCGGUGUAAUGUUUAGCUAGCAAGUCUAACUGGACUCCGCAGUCAGCACUUAGCACCUUAAGGAAAUAUAGUUGAGGCACUGACCUUCAAAAGCUUUAGUCCUCAAAACUUCUGAAGAGAUUUCAAUUUGACAUAUGCUGGGAACACUGAAGACUGAAGCCCAAAGUGAGGGAUAAUAACAAGGUUCACGAAUUUCCCUAUGCAACAAAAAAAAUGAGCCUUUCUUCGCUUUUCUGCAAGGGGAGAAAGAGCAUUCUUUUACUUGAUGAAUCAUCUUGAAAAAGACAAUCCAUAAAGAAGAAAGUCAAACAUAGCUUGUGAAAGUGCAGUCAUGCCCUUAAUCGACUUUUGGUGUUAAUGACAACACAUACAUAGGGAACUAAUCCUAUUUGUUGAGUGUAUCUCAGGAUGGCAAGUACUUUAGUAGAUUGAGAAUUAUGUGCCAAGGUGGUCUGAGAAGAUCGGGACUUAUAUGUCAAGAAGGCUCGAGAUUGAGAAAAGAUGAUGUAGACUAUCCUUUAAAUUUACUAUUCUUGAGUAUAGGGAUCCCGCACUAUUAAGAGGGGAUCACAGGUUUUGCGAUGAAUUUGCUCAUACUACAUCUCUACUUUUCUGCUCAUACCACAUCUUCACUACUCUCCUCUUAUCUCAAAAUAGAACCAAUGCCUCGGACAUCCGGCCUCCUCCGGACGUCCGAGGGCCGGACGUCCGACCUGCUUCGGAAAUCCGGAAUCCUAUACCAGAGAAAUCAGAGCCAUAUAACUCGGACUUCCGGCUCCCUCCGGACGUCCGAGGGCCGGACGUCCGACCAGCUUCGGAAAUCCGGAGCUUUGCACUAGAGAAACUUGAGCCAUAUAACUCGGACUUCCGGCUCCCUCCGGACGUCCGAGGGCCGGACGUCCGUGCACUUUCGGAAUCCGGACUCUUGCACCAGAGAAGUUUGAGUCGAAUAACUCGGACUUCCGGCUUUCUCCGGACGUCCGGUCCCUGUUCAACUAUACAGUGGUUCCAGAUAUAGUUACAUCCCUCGGACGUCCGACUCCUUGUGGACGCCCGGACAUCCGUGAACUGCCGGAUGUCCGACCCCUGUCUGACUUAAAGUGUCCCCAACGGCUGUUUUACUCUCCCCACUAUAUAUACCCCCCUCCCUCCAACACAGCUAGAACACUUACAAGAACACCUUUCUCCUCACUCACUCUUGUCUACACCCAAUCUUAGAUCCCAAGAGCAUUUGUGAGUCCCUUUGAGUGUUGUUCCAAUCAAAAGAUAGAUCGUCUCCUUCUCCUCCUCUCCACCAAAGUGAUUUGUGAUUUGAGCAAGUUUUGAGCAAUCCCCGUGAUCUUGUUACUCUUGGAGGUUGGAGACUCCUAGGCGGUAGGAGUCUUCGGAGAGGAAUCAAACCAUUGUGAUUACCCCCGGAAAGUUUGUGAAGGUUUGGAAGCCACCUCAAGGCUUACCACUAGUGGUUGAGAAACGCCUUCGUGGAGUUAUCUGAAAGGGAGAAUAGGGUGAGCCUUCGUGGCGUUGGUGUGCCUUCGUGGUAACAUCCGCCCCUCUAACGGUGACGUAGCUUCCCUCCAAGGAAGUGAACAUCGGGAUACAUCCUCGUCUCUCUUGGAGUUUCGGUUAUUCUUAACCCUAACUCUCUACUUGUGUUAAUCCUUAUUACGUACUUGCAUUUGAUUAUUGUUUACCGGUUGCCUUACUUCUCUCUAAAUAGCUUACUCCUUGUCAUUGCAAUUAUUAGGCUCACGCCCAUAUUCCGCACCUUUGCCUAAAAUUGCCAAGUAAUUAUUAAAAUUUGGAACUGUACCUAUUCACCCCCCCCCCCCUCUAGGUCCAUCUCGAUCCUUUUCAGCUUGAACAAGAAGAUAGCAAUUAACACGGUGCAUCUCAAAGACAAUUCAGUAUGGACAACUAGAUGGAACUAAAAAGGGAUCUCUUCCCCAAUAAACUAGGGCACCAGGCAUCCAGAUCAUUUAAGUCAUUAGGACCCCCAGAUAGAAGCAGAUCUAAGAGAAUUCUCUUAGCAUAAGUAUCAACAGAAGUUACCACCAGUUUACACAAAGUCCCACUGAAAGGCCACACAAUAAACCACCACCGUAGCUCUAAACCACCUAAGCUCGCUAUCUAAAUAUUCAAAACCAUCAAUUGGUUUCACAAGUGGUUUUCACUUUUCACUGAUGUGGCGCUUUGUUAUGACCAGAGGCCCGGUUAGCCAAACUGGCCCAGUUAUCUUAAUAAUAUUAGGGGCUUAGCCCAGUUUAUUAUAGCCUAGGAAACUUAUAUAUAGUCAUGUAAUCAACACUUUUGAGAUUAAGCAAAGAUCAAUAUAUUUUGAUCAGCUCCAACUACGAGCCGGUGCCCUAACCCUAGACGCCUCUACUACUCGAGACGGCGCCGUCGCGCCGGCCGCGGCGCCCUCGUCUCCUCCAACCUCCCUUCUACCCUUAUAACUGAAGGCAGAGGGCCGGUAGAACCCUAGUUUCUACCAGUUUGGUAUCAGGUAGCUUCGGUGCGAUCAUGUCUUCCCGCCGCCCACCUCAACCCUCCCGCUGCCAACGACCACCACCGCCCCGCUGGCCACCACGGCCGGCACCCCUUCUCUGCCGGUGUCGGUCACCUCCGCCGCGCCGGUUCCCACCGUCUUCACACCGGAGGAAGUCACCGAAGCGCUCCGUGAUCUCGCCACUGCGGUCCAGGGCAUCCGCCUCUACUUGGUUGGGCCCUACGGGCCGCCGCCGGCCGCGCCACGCACCGCUGCCACCGGGCCGCUGCUCCUGNNNNNNNNNNNNNNNNNNNNNNNNNNNNNNNNNNNNNNNNNNNNNNNNNNNNNNNNNNNNNNNNNNNNNNNNNNNNNNNNNNNNNNNNNNNNNNNNNNNNNNNNNNAGGUCCGGUUCCCGCCUUCGCCGUCACCGCUUUCGGCCUGGUUGGUCGGGUCGUCACCGCAGCCGGCGCCCGCCCUGCAGUACGGCGGGCCAUCCAGCUCCGUUGGUCCCUACACCGGCCUCGACGGGCAGCCGUUUCACGGGGGACCCAGUGCGUCCAUCGACCCGGCGCCGCCCCCCCCAUGCUGCUCCACACCACCGACCCGUACGCCACGGCGGUCAUACUCAGACACCGCCGCGCUUCGCCAAACUCGACUUCGCCACCUUCGACGGCACUGAGGACCCCCUCAACUGGCUUAAUCAGUGUGAGCAGUUCUUUCGGGGCAACGCACGCUCGCAUCGGACCGCACCUGGCUCGCCUCAUAUCACCUCCGAGGCGCCGCGCAGACGUGGUACUACGCCCUCGAGCAGGACGAGGGCGGCAUGCCCCCAUGGGAGCGCUUUCGCGAGCUCUGUCUCCUUCGCUUCAGGCCGCCGGUACGCGGGAGCCGGCUGGCGGAGCUAGGCCGACUCCCCUUCAUUUCCACGGUGCAGGACUUCGCCGACCGCUUCCAAGCCCUGGCGUGCCACGCGCCCAGCGUGACGGCCCGUCAGCGGACCGAGCUCUUCGUCGGCGGUCUGUCGGAUCAUAUCCGCGUGGACGUGGAGCUUCGGGGAUCGCAGGACAUCCAGACCGCCAUGUACUAUGCCCACGCAUUCGAGCAGCGGGCGGUGGCUAUGCAGCAGGCGUUCCCGGCCCAGGCACCUCGCCCACCCCCUAAGCCGGCUAUGUCUGCACCCAGCCGGCCUGACCAACCGGCGACAGGGACUCCCGCCACGGCAACAACUCGACCGUUCCGUCGGCUAACCCCGGCCGAACAACACGAGCGUUGUCGACAGGGGUUAGGUUUCAACUGCGAUGAGCCCUACGUGUCGGCCACGUUUGCCCACGCCUCUUCUACCAGGAGGCAGACGACUAUGUCGCAGGGGAUACAGCUCCCUCCGAGCUUGCCAAGGCAACGGCCCCGACGUCAGCCACCGGUCUCGUGGUCUCCCUCCAUGCCCUUGCCGGCAUACGAGCGGAAACAACGAUGUUGUUGCCAGUGAUGGUUAAUGGGGAGCGCCUCUUAGCUCUCGUGGACACGGGCUCUACGCACAACUUCCUGCCCGCGUCUACUAUGCGUUGCCUGGCCCUCCAGCCGAGGGGCGGCGAGCAGCUCCGAGUUACCAUGGCUAACGGUGACCGUCUUUGCUGCCACGGAAUUGCGCAGCAGGUUCCAUCCUCAUCGGCGACGAGUUCUUCACCAUCACGUGCGUCGGCAUCGACUUGGGCGACUACGACUUCAUCCUCGGCGUCGACUGCUUGCGGACCCAUCCUUUGGGACUUCGACGCACUGACCAUGACUUUCUGGCGUCAAGGGCGCAUGGUGCAGUGGAAGGGCGAGGGUGGCACUUCUCCAGUAGUUCCCUCUCAGCUGUCGACCGCCAUAGCAGCCUCCGAGCCGCCCCUGUUGGCUCAUCUCCUGCAGCGGCACGACGACCUUUUACCGGUGCUCCUUGUUCACAAGCCCGAGGGCUCGUGGCGUUUCUGCCUCGAUUACCGUGCUCUCAAUGCCACGCCGACGAGGGUCAAUUUUCCUAUACCGGUCGUGGAGGAGCUCCGGGAAGAGCCGCCAGGGCCACGCUUAUUCCCUACGCUCGACUUGCGUUCUGGCUACCAUCACGAUCACUUCGAGUUUUUGGUGAUGCCUUUCGAUCUCUUCAAUGCGCCGGCGACAUUCCAGGCCUUGAUGCACGACGUACUUCGGACCAGCUCAACCCUCCGAAGGCACCUUGGGAGCAGCUCAAGGAGUUCCGCCAACAUUUUCUAGACGUCCAGCUCGAGGACUAGCUGUUUGCGCAGGCGGGGAGAAAUGUUAUGACCAGAGGCCCAGUUAGCCAAACUGGCCCAGUUAUCUUAAUAAUAUUAGGGGCUUAGCCCAGUUAUUAUAGCCUAGAGAACUUAUAUAUAGUCAUGUAAUCAGCACUUUUGAGAUUAAGCAAAGAUCAAUCUAUUUUGAUCGGCUCCAACUAGGAGCCGGUGCCCUAACCCUAGACGCCUCUACUACUCGCCGCCUCCUCCUUCCUGCGCCGAGACGGCGCCGUCGCGCCGGCCGCGGCGCCCUCGUCUCCUCCAACCUCCCUCCUACCCUUAUAACUUAAGGCAGAGGGCCGGUAGAACCCUAGUUUCUACCACGCUUACACAUCAUCCGCACAACCAUUUUCUGUUCCCAUCCCUGUCCUUGCACCUACCAUGGCAAGCAUGAUGGUGCAAGGCCCCCAAGAUGCCGCAUGCACAACCAGCGGCAUUGACCCCUCUACAUUGUCACCCUCGCCUCUGCUCAGUGAUCCUCAGCCAUGCGGGUGACACCUCAUCAUUCUUCACCGUGGGCCGAGGAAGCUGCAGGCCAAAAAGUUUGCAAUUGUACGCCUCUUCCAGGAGAACACCUCAGCUUUCCACAUUGUAAAACUCACCAUGAGGUAGACCCCACUCCUUGGUCUCUCCCAAUGGCUCGAUGUGGUGUUCUGGGUCAUGGUGAUGACACAGCAAAAUGCGGAGCAGAUCGCCGUGAAAAAACACAAUGGGAGAGCCAUAGAGACUUCAGGUGCAGCAAAGGUACAGCACAGUUCUUGUUGUAGGAGUUAGCUGAUUGGUGUGGUUUGAGAAUAACUUGGACCUCCUCCUUGAUGAGCACAGAAACAGGGUUGGAGUGGAAGGGCAAGGCAUGGCAGAUAUGAAACAGCAGGGGGGGGGGGCACUGAUAUGCAAGACCUUUUCGUUUUCCUUGCUAGGAGUUAAAAGAUAGACAAGCCAUACAUGUACACGGUGCGGAGAAAAAGGAACCUUUCACGUUUCUAACAUCACGGAAAAACAUAUGCAGGUACAUUAUACAAAAGUAUGCGGAUGAGAAACAAAAGUGAAAUAUAUGUUCAUUUUACAUUCACGAGUACAUUAUUUACCUGAAAUGCUCUGUUUUUGUGAAACAGGAUUGGAUGAUUUCAGUUCAACGGAGAUUAUAGCUUUCACCAACAUUGCAAUCACAGCUAUAGUGGUACUACCCUGUAUGCUAAAAGCGCACAAACUGAAUAGGUAGUAAAGAAAGAUUAAGGAAUGACUAGGUGAGAAAGAGCACUCACAGGGCAUCAUCUCAUCAGCAAUGGCAGCAGUACAUGAAAUCUCCUCAGCAAUCACAUUAUCCUCUGGUUCUUAAAACCAGGUAAUGUCAGCAUAUAACUAGAAGCACUAUGCAGAAGUGAACAAUUCACCUCAGAUGGCUCGAUGACUCUUAUUAACCCAAGACAGGUUGUAAAUUAACAUGUUGUCUGUGUCAAAAGGCAGCAAUCUUCUACCACAAACAUCCCCCAACUUGAGUGCAAACCAUUGGUUUCUGAUGAUUUCGUAAUCAUCAUGAGUUAACAAUGCAAAGCACACAUAUCGUCCUUUUUCCACAUUCACAGCAGAAGUCUACUACUCUACUUAACAUUCCAAUAAGGUCAGCAAAGCUAAGACAAGAUAAAUAGUUAAACACAUCAAUAGUCUCAACAAAUGCCUCACUGUAGAACAACGGUUCGACCUGCUAUUUUUGUUAUCCCUUUUCCGGCCAUUUCAGCUCUAACUUCAGAAACAUCGGCCCAUCUGUCAAUGUUAGCAUAAAUGUUUGACAGGGUAAUAUAAUUUCCAGCAUUAUCUGGUUCAAUUUCAAAAAGCUUCUUCGCAGCAAUUUUUCCAAGCUCAAUAUCACCUUGGAGUAUGCAUCCACGCAACAAUGCACCCCAUGAUCCCGGAUGAGGUUUUCCUGGCAUAGACUUAAUAAGCUCAUAUGCAUCUCUCAGCAUCCCAAAACGCCCGAGAAGACUGACAAGGCAAGCAUAGUGAUCGCCAGAUGGCAUAAUGAAAUACUCAUUCUUCAUCAUAGCAAAGUACUUUUUCCCUUCUUCUACUAGGCCAGCAUGAUUGCAAGCUGUCAAAACAACUGUAAACACAGCAGUAUCUGGGGAGAGGCCCUCCAAAAGCAUCCUAGAGAAAAGAUCAACAGCCUUGUUAGCUGAACCAUGGAGGCAAUGACCUUGCAUCAUCGAACAGUAUGAGAACACAUCUCGAACUGGCAUGGACUCAAAUAAAACAGUAGCCUUUUCCAUGUUCCCACACUUUGCAUUCAUGUUUAUGAGACCUGCCAACACAUGGGCAUUGUUCAUAUCUAUGGAAUAAGUCGUGAUGUAACCUUCAAUCCAUUUUGCCAACAUGAUGUUACCCAGUUGGGAGCACGCUGUCAUCAGAGCAACAAUAACAAGCUCGUCCGGGCAUAUGUCCUCACGGAACUCAUUAAAAAUCCUUAAAGCCUCUCCAGGAUAACCAUUCUGUGCAUAGCCUGAUAUCAUUGCUGACCAUGAGAACACAUCCCGGUCACGUAACUUAUCAAACAGCCUUUUGGCAACCUGCAUAUUUCCUGCCUUUGCAUACCCACCGAUCAACGAUGUGUGCGCUGCAGCAGUUCUUUGGGGCAUUUCUUCGAACAGCCUCCUCGCACUCUCCAGGUCCCCGCACUUCACAUACCCACCAACCAUGGCGUUCCAAUGAACCACGUUCCUGUAUGGCAUUCGGUCAAAAAGCUCCCGGGCAGACACGAUGUCACCACAGUCGACGUAGACCAUGAUAAUGGCAGUCCAGGAAACGUCGCUGGGGAUGACCAUCGAGUCGAAAAGCAUCCGGGAUGCGCCAGCAGAGCUGCAGCUUCCGUAGAACUGGAUGAGCGCUGUGCGGACGAAGAGGUCGGCAUCCAGGCCGAGGCGUAUGGCUGCGGCGUGCAAAGCGGAGCCGGUGGGUUUGCAGCGUACGCGGGCGCACGCGCGGAGGAGGGGAGGGAAAGAGAAGGCGUCGGGGCAGGCGGUGCGGCGGACGAUAUUGAAGUGCGCAAGCGCAGCGUGGAGCGGGGAAUGGCGGGAGAGCGAGGCGAUGACGGAGUUGCGGAGGCUGAGCGGGACGGCGUGGGAAGGGAGAGCCGAGAGGAAGGAGUCGGCGACGCAGGGGGAGGCGAGCGAGUCGCAGGCCGCGGUGAAGCGCGCGAGGAGGGCGUGGUGGUUGUGGAGGCCAAGGCGAACGAUGCGGGCGUGGAGUUGGGCGAGGCAGCGAAGAGUACGGCAGCGGCCGAGGAGGGUAGCGACCGGAGGGGAUGGGCGGCCGGCGGCGGGGGUCAUGCGGCGGCGGGGGCGAGUGCAGAAGCCGGUGAUGGCAUUUGGAGCUGCGUUUGGCGUUUGGGGCCUGGGUGUCCCUUUCGGCUCGCAUCCUGGGCUCGCCUAAUGCGCUGUGGUAAAUGGACGGGCCCAAGAAAAAUAGCUGCUUCGUUCACUUCCUUUACAUCACACGUCUGUUUCGAUUUUUUAUGUUUUAUACAUUUAAUUACAUUCCUAAAUAUAUACUCCCGUCCCCAAAUAUAAGUCUUUUAAGCGAUUUCACUAUGUGUCUACAUUUGAAGCAAAAUGAUUGAAUGUACACUCUAAAGUAUGUCUAUAUACAUCCGUAUGUAGUCCGCUAGUGAAAUCUCUACAAAGAAUUAUAUUUAGGAACGGAGGGACUAGAUAUUAAUAUUAAUUCAAAAACAUGUACUCCCUCCGUCUCAAAAUAAGUGCUUAACUUUGUACUAGAUUUAGUAAAAACUUGAGUCAUUUAUUUUCAAACGGAAAGAGUAUUUAAAAACAUAUAAAACAUAUAAUUAAGUAUUAUAUAUAUAUUNNNNNNNNNNNNNNNNNNNNNNNNNNNNNNNNNNNNNNNNNNNNNNNNNNNNNNNNNNNNNNNNNNNNNNNNNNNNNNNNNNNNNNNNNNNNNNNNNNNNNNNNNNNNNNNAAAAAAUUAAAAUAUUAAAAGAAUAUAAAAAAUCAAGAAACCAUAAAUAACUAAAAACCAUUGAAAAUCAAAAAAUUCCAAAAAAUGCGUAUAAAAAUGCGAAAAAGAUAAAGAAAAUGGAAACCAUAAAAAGUAAAGGAAGGAGAAACUCAAUAAUACAAGGGAGCUGCUACGCAUCCACCGACGGAUGUUUAGUAAACAUCUGUCACCUCAACGGUCGUUGGAUUAUCGAUGCAGUCGUCCGAUCUACGUCCCCGCAUCCAAUAGUUCCUGAAACAGAGGUUGGGUUGCAGAUACUAUAGCCGCGUUGCAAAAACAACAAUCGUGCUGCAAAAAAAAUCCUGACACAACGAUCGCAUUGCAGAAAAUAAUUUACGUAACUCCUGAAACAAUGGCUGAGUUGCAGAAACCACAACCCCGUUGCAGAAAAAUGUUGCAGGCCAGUUGCGGNACGGUUCGCGAUCAGAUCGAGGCCAGAUUCAAUGGACAAGCGGGCGGCGAAUGAAUCACGCGAAUCAAUCAGUGGAAGGUAAGACUUUCGCAUNNNNNNNNNNNNNNNNNNNNNNNNNGAAGGAAAGAAAGGAAAAGAUCAAUAAAAAUUGAAAUCGUUAGACAUGAAAGAAGAACAAAAGAGGACCAGUCCAACGACCACGCGGGUGAUCCGAGGGAGGAACGGCCUGAUUUCACGGUUGGCCCAAACGUGCACAUGCGAGAGAUGACACGUCCGUAAUAGGAAUCAAUACGAGCGGCAAAGGGGAAAACCCUAUUUGUCGUUUUUUGCGUCAAAUAGUUGGAUAAACACACAGGGGCGCGACAAACAGGACCAGCCUACCUCCCUCUGCAGGCAGUUCCGGUAUGUGCUUCAUUUUUUAUUGUCCUUUUUUCCGUCUCAGUUUUUCCUUCUUCUUUUUUCGUUUUUCUGCUUUUGUUUUCUUUUUUAUACAUAUUUUUUAAAUCUAAGUUCAUGUUUUAAAUAUUUUCUUGAAAUUCAGAAAAUGUCUUUGAUUUUAUAAAAAAAUUCCAAAUUUCAAAUAUUUGGCGUUUUUUAAAACAUCCCUAGGUUCAAAAAAAGCUCGGGAUUUUCGAUAAAUGUCCGAAAUUUUCAAAAACUGUUCGCCAUUUAUAAAAAAUAUUCUUUUUUCACAAAAUGUUAUUGCUUGCUUUUAAUAUUUUUUUCCUACACUUUUGUUCCUUUUUCCUUUUCCGAUUUUUAUGUUUGACAUUUUAUAAUUGUUGUUUUGAAUUUUAAAAAAGUUCUCGUAUUCACAGUUUAUAUUUAAAUGUUCAUGCUUCAAAAACAUUCCUGCUUCCAAAAAGUGUUCAUCUUUUGAAAAGUGUUCAUGUUUCAAAAAUUGUUUUCGUAUUCAAAAAAGUGCAUGAUUUUUCACAUAAAUUAUUCACAAUGUUUUUUAAAAUGUUCUUCUUUUCACAUUUUACAAAAAUGUUCCUGUUUUACGAAUUUUUUUUCUCUUUUUUGAAAAUUUUGUUUUGUUUGCCAAUUCUAAAAUUAUUCAUGAUUUGAAAAUGUUUGGGAAGUUUAAAAAAUNNNNNNAAAAUAUUCUUCAUUUUUGAAAAAAACAAUCCGUUUCAAAAAAUGUUCCUGUUUUAAAAAGUGUACAUAAGUUCAAAAAAUGUUCACAAAUUUCAAAAAAUGAUCUUUCUUACAAACAAAAUGUUCCGUGUUUUCAAAUUUGUUUAUAGACUAAUAAAUUGUUUAUGUAUUUACAAACUUGUUUGCACUUCCAAAUUCAUUCAGUUUUAUAAACAUUGUUCUUGGUUUCAAAAUUUGUUCUCAAAAUUCAAAAGAUGUCUGUUUUUUAAAAAUUUGUUUGCUCUUUCAAAUUUAUUUGGGGUUUUCAAAAUUGAUUUCCUUUUCAAAAUUUUGUUCUCAAGAUUCAAGAAAUGUUCGCAUACUUAAAAAAUUGUUCGCGCUUCCAAAUUUGUUCACGUUUUUCUAAAUUGUUCUUGGUUUCAAAAUUUGUUCUCAAAAUGCAAAAAAUGUUCUUGAUUUAAAACUUUGUUCGUGCUUUCAAAUAUGUUCGGGGUUUUCCAAAAUUGUUCUUUUUUUCAAAUUUUUGUUCUCAAGAUUCAAAAAAUGUUUGUGCUUUAAAAAAUUAUUCGUUCUUCCAAAUUUGUUCACUUUUAAAAAAAAUUACUCAGUUUCAAAUUUGUUCUCAAAAUUCCAAAAAUGUUUGUGCUUUAAAAAUUUGUCCGCGCUUUCAAAUUUGUUUGGUGUUUUUCAAAAUUGUUCUCCUUUUUCCAAAUUUUGUUCUCAAGAGUCAAAAAAUGUUCGUGCUUUAGAAAAUUGUUCACGCUUCCAGAAAUUUUCCCGUUUUUUAAAAUUGUUUGUGGUUUCAAAAUUCGUUCUUAAAAUUCAAAAAAUGUUCAUGCUUAAAAACUUUGUUCGCGUUUUCAAAUUUGUGCAGGGAUUUAAAAACAAAUUCUCGUUUCCAAUUUUUUUAUUCUCAAGAUUUAAAAAUGUUCGCGCUUCAAAAGAUUGUUCACGCUUCCAAAUUUGUUCACGAUUUUUCAAAAUUAUUAUUAAAAUUUGAAAAUUAUUUUUUCUUCAAAUAAAAUGAAAAAGGAAUGAAAAAACGAACUAAAAAAAUAAAAUAAACAGAGAAGAAAAAAAGUAGCAGGAAAUAAACAAAACUUGGCCGGCCCAGUUGGGCCCCCCUGUGCGGCGCAGGGCUGCCUGCCGCAGUGAGCGGCAGGUAGGAGCUCCCAGACUAAGAGCUUUGGCGGGAGGAGACAAGGUGGUCAUCUCGCUCGCCUGCCUACAUACAACGGCCGGUUGUUGAGCCGUCCCGAGAAGUGACUAUUAUAUGGAUGUUAGUCACUAAAAGGAAAGUAUAAUUGCUUCAAUGGUGCAUUUUGCUUGAACAAACAGCGGUAGUUUGAUCAACAACACAUGCUUAAAGUAGAAAAAUUACUCAUUAGUUUUAUAAGUAGGGCAAAAAAUUGUUCAUGAUAUUUCUUGAAAGUGUUCAAUUAUUCCUUUUAAAUGUUCUAUCUAAUUUAAACAUUGUUCCGUAUACUUUUAAAACUCUUCAUUUAAUUUGAACAAUCAUACAUUUAAAAACUAAAAUAUACCCCCCCUUCUAAAUUAAAUGAUAAACACUUUUCAGAUAUAUGAUGGACAUUUUUAAAUACAAGCUACACAAUGUUUAAUUCACAGUGAAGAUUUCUAAAAUAUACUUUAGUUUUUAAUACAUGAUGAUUUAAUAAGUGCACGUUGAACAUUUUAAAAAUACAUGACAAACAUUUUUUAAUACAGAAUGAGUAUUCGUUUAAUGUUAAUGAAUAUAUUUAAUAUAGUAAAGAUUUUAAUGCAUUUGAAAACGUAGAUAACUGAUGGGCAUUUAUUAAUAAACACUGAACAUUUCCUAAUACAUGGUUAACAUUUUCUUCAACGCACGCUUGCCAUUAUUUAAUAUACAUAAACUUUUUUAAACACAUGAUGAGCGUUUUUUAAAUGCAUGGCAAGAAUUUUCUAAUACAUUGUACCUCUGCAAAAUACACGAGGAAAAAGUAAUAAGAAACAGAAAAGGAAGAAAAAGAAAACAACAAAAUAGACAAAAAAACUACGCUACCAAACACCAAAUAAAAAAAUUAAGAAUGAACGAGUUUAUGCUAAGACCAUUAUGUCCAUCAAGUGUUAUUGGGCUGACCCACUUCCCAACCAGAUAUUGAAGGGGUGACGUGUUAUCUCAUGAUAGGCGAGAUAUAGCAUUCCCAAAAGGAAACGGGCUAACUAAAAAAGAUUAUCGAUUAGCUAGAAGUGCCAUUGUUGUCCCAAAAAGUAGGCAUGUCAAAGCCCGUCACAUGUGUUGACAUCCCUUCCCUCAUUGUAUGAAGGGUUGGUUUCCUCUAAAAUACAUCAACCAAGCACCCCUCACGAAAACAAACCAACACAAUUUUUUGUCAAAAAAAACUUCAACAUGAUUUGUUAGAAAAAAAUCUAAAAAACGGUUGAGCGAAGUGAACCAUGGCCUAAUUGUCUCAAAUUAAGACAGGUGCCUCAUCGCCUGGUUUUAAUCCUUUCAUUAAUCACGGGUGUGAGGUAUUUUCAUAUGCAUACACUUUUCUAUGGUGAGAGUAAGACAUGUGUUUUUGUGGUCAGAUUGAUGUCAUUCACCAACAACGCAUGGUCCAAAUUAGCAUGUCACUAUAUAAAGUUUUGAUCAAAUAUAAUGUUGAUAUGUUUUAUCAGUUGCUCAUAAACAAAUGUCUUUCAGGUUCAUUUGGGGAUGAAUAUAUGCAUGUAAUGGCAGAGCAUAACGUACGUAGACCAACAGGGGCCAUAUGCCCCACCAACAGGGGCCAUAUACCCCCCCCCCUAGUUUUUGCACUCAUUGUAGAGCAUGCAAUAUUUUAGGUGUAACUAGUGUCUCACUAGAGAUUAGCCCCUCCUUCCCUACUAAAUUGUUCCCCUUCAAGUCAUGGGCACCUCUUAAAUUUUUCCCAAGCUUCGACACUGCAUGCGAGACUAUGAGAGCUUCUUCAUUUGGUCAUCGUCUUGGGUAGCAUGUACAUCACUAACAAGAGUGCAACAAUGGCUAUUCCAUCCAAGUGUGCCCAAGCUUAGGAAAGUUGCCAGCAUGGUUUAGAAUGGUAGUCUACAUCAUAGAGAAAGUGACACUACGAAACAUGAUAGAGAUGUUGGGCCAUACCUCCGAACAACACCUUCUUCCACAAACUUGAUCUCCACUUUAAAAAAUCGGUUGUGCACCAAAUAGGUCAUCCGCCCAUAAAAAUGGCCACAUAUUGCUCUCGAGAUAGCUAAUGUUAAUCUCUUCGGACCCUCCGCUAGUGUGUGGUCCAAGUCGUGUGCCAUAUUAUCAGGGUUUGACCCAUGUAUCGGUUUGGGGUUAAGUGAACAACACCGCUAAGUUUAAGGCGUCGAUUUAACCAUUUUAAAUGGACCCACUUGCUUCUUGAAGGCCUCUCCAUGCAUUAUUCAUGUAUUAAUGAUUAACCUAUUGUUCUUUCUUGUAUCGGUUGCUGGGGUGUUUUAUUAGGCAUAACUUUGGGUUUUGGAUUUUCGAUUCUAUAUUUAAAACAUCUAUCAAUAUGUUAAAAGCCAAAGUUAAGCAUAACCAAACACCGCAAGAGUCGUAGCCUCCAAAGUUCCAACGUUACCCACCUAAACUUCUUAAUUGAAAAUAUGAGGCCACCAGGUGAUUUUUGUGGUUUCAUAUAUAUGAGUGAUCCGUAAGGAGAUUUCAACAUCUAUUGAAUAUGAUUCUAUAGGUGGUGGAGACCAUGAAUGUACAUUUUAGGUGUGUAGUUAUUGUUCAAAUUUAUACAUUUUGUGUCCAGUUGCAAACUGCAGUGUCACCAAGAUUGUCCGACGGUGCAAGGGAAAUGGGUCUCUCGACUUAUUUUUAACAAACACACAAACUUUAUCAAAAUAAAAUAAUAGUUACAUCAUUUACAAGGAAGGGAACAACUUCAUUGAGAUGUUUCUCAAACCAGUGAAAAGUCAAAGAAAGUCUAGGCAACCUAGCAAGCUCAUGAGCAACUUUAUUUGCUUCUCUCUAUUACAAUGUUCAAACCUAGGGAUUGAAAAAUGACAAUAAAAAUGAUAAUAAUCAUCAAAAAAUACCAUUGUCGUAGUCGCAGUGUCCUUCAAUCUUCAUAGUGUCACUGACCUCUAGAUUAACAAAAUUAAUAACGAGUGUGUUGCAUCCCGCUUUUUGCGCAAGGGAAAGAUUAAAUCUGAGCACCAAAGCUUUAGCUGUCACGACAUCCACACACCAGCUGAUUUUCCAAUUUCCCUAGCAAUGAAAUUUCAUUUAUCAUCCCUCAAGACCGCCAUACUUGUACCCCUAAGCAAGUCUCGGUCAAAAAAAACUUGGACAUUAAGUUUAACAAACUACACAGGGCGCAUGCAACCCUCUUUUUUAAUGGUAGCAAUUGGAGUGAAAGAGCUAACAUAGUUCGUUGCAUGAAUCCCCAUAGUAAUAUGAUAAGCACCUUGAACUAUCUCUUCAUGAACCAAUUGAUGUCUUACCCGCCACACAUACCAGGUGGUAAUGGCGAUCAUCUCAUGACCAUUCUGAAGAGCCAUAAUAGAGAAAUCCUGGUCUGAUAAAUGGGUCUCUCGAAUCUAUCUCCCUCCAUGAGGUGAUACGUCCAACACAAUCUUGAUGAUGUAGGAAAAAUGGUGCUCGAGGGGUAACUGUCAACACACCAUAGAUUAGUUGUUGCAUGAGUCUUAAUUUUUUUGGUUGCAAGAGUCUUAAUGGUGGACCACAACGAAUUUCUUUUCCUUUGUCUUGAGCGGUGAAAAAUUGCUCACAUUGUUGUGUUUUGUUAAAAAUGGUGCGGUGAGCAAUCUUCAAAUUCUUCAAAAACAGUCAAAGGAAAAUAUUUUGUGUUAUGUGUCAAGAGUUUGUUCUAUAGUCCAAAAUCAAUAUAUUUAAAUCUAUGAACAAAACUAUCUUUAAAACAAAAAGUUUAAAGUUGUGGCUACUUGGUUGUCAUACUCAAAAACACACAUGUCAUGGAGCAUGUGGCGUUCCUCCUCCACGAGCAACUCCUCCAAGGACGAGGGUUCCCGUCCCCCACCCCGCCGAUGUCGAUUUGUCUCGUCUCUCGUGGCCUUAGGGCCAUGGAGGCGGGGUGGAUCCCGGCCCUUGCCGGCGGGAGGGGUGAUGCUUCAUUUUAGGUGUUUUUGAGCUUGUUUAGGAUUUGUGUCCUGCUCAGGAAGGUGGGAUAGCGGCGGCUUCUUGAAGAUAGAACAAGGUUCUAUCCGCGUAGCCUUCGUCCUCACGGUGCGUCUAGCGUUGUCGGAGGGUGUGUGGAGGUGUGUCUUCGACGAAUCUUGCAGGAUCCAAUCUAUGUUUGUCUUCCGUGGAUCUGUUUAGAUCGGUAUUCAUUCGUCAACCUUUGUAUGUUUACAUGAUAGAUCCUUCUCAUAUAUGCUUUUCUUCAACGAUGGAUGUUGUUUUGGUGCGCUGGCCCUUUUGAGAGACUUUCUGACUAUCUACUAGAGUAAAAUUUGUCUCGCUCCGGUGAGGGAGAGAUGGUGAUAACGACACGUCCUUAGCUCAGUCCAGUCCUUGUAGUCGUUGGACGGUGGUCUAUAGAUAUGAAUGUAUUUUUAUUACUUGUGUCAAUAGUAGUACCAUGAUGUUUGGUGAAUAGAUCUAAAGUUUUUUUUCAAAAAUACAUGCCAUGGUGACAAAGCGUGUUGUUACUGUUGGUUUUGUUGAACUCGGUUUUGUGCUUAGCAUGGAAGAGGGGCAAUUAACAAACAGCAAUCACACGGCUUGCGAAGCCACACGCAUGCACGAAACCAGAAGGCAUGACAGAUUUUACAUUGAACACACAUGCGCAGAAGUAGCCCAGCACAAGUAAGGACGACGCACAUGCAUGAUCCAAAAGCUAGUUAAUCCACUACUUCUGGAAGUAGUCCUCGGUCCUGCCCUUGAACCCGAUCUGGCCGAAGGUGAGCGCGAUGAACAGACCCAGGUGCCACGUCACCAACCACAGCCUGCAGUGUCAAUUACAUUUAACCUUCAGAAUCAAACCCCAAGUUGAAGCACAAGCAUAUAUGUACUGGUGGUUAGUGCGUGAACGUGUGACGAGUGGUUUGGGUUUAUCCUGACCAGAACUGCGACUGGAGAGCCGGGGGCGAGGGGAAGUGGGCGAGCUCCUCGCCGAUGCUGGAGAAGAAGAGCCCCGUCAAGCUGUUGCCGUUGAUCAGCGGGAUGCUCGACGGCGCCAGCCACCCGAUCAGCCCGAACCCGAUCACGUUCAGGUCCCUCCGCAGCCAGUCCCGUGGGAACCUGAUCGCCCAACAACGCAAAGCAAACAAUCCGUCAGUGACACAGAAAUUCACACGCCGAUGCAUGUAUGGACAGAGUCAUUUUUUUUACGUCAUGCAGGUGAUUCUGCCGUUCCUCUCCAGGUUCCUCGUCAUCAGCGGGUUCCUCGCCGACACCCGGCCGCCACUCGUGAAGCCUACGUACACAGACCCAGCAUUUCAGGACACACAACGUCAACGUCGAAUUGGUGACAGAAAAAAGCUAGGCGC